UUUCUCUUGGAUUAGAAUUUCGCAGCUGAGUCAACGCAUCCUUCCAAACGGGAAGCUUCUUAUUUUUCAGAGCAUUUGCAACUGUACUCAGUGCAACAGGCAAUCCUCCACAUUUUCCAACAAUCUCAUCUGCUAAAGGUUGAAAAGCAGAUGCUUUUGCGGAAUUGCCCACGAUCUUUUCAAAAAAUUGCAAUGCUUCUUCCUUUGAUAAAACUUCAAUUAGGAAAAUCUUCUGAGAAUUCAUAUCAUUGGUCAAUAAAUGUUUACUUCUAGACGUCAAUAUUAUCGUGCGUCUCCUUAGAUCUUGCUUUCUAUCUUUCUCAUCAACAUCCCCAAAAGGAAUUCCAAUUUCUUCCAACCCAAGUUUUUUCCAAAUAUUAUCUAAUAUAAUGAGGACUCGCUUCUCUUUCGUCAAUCUUUGACAAAGUUGUUUUGCUCUGUGGGGUUUGCUAUCAUUCAAGUCAAAGUUCAAGUCUAAAUCGGAAGCGAGCUUGUCUUGAAUUUUCUGAACAUCUGGGUUCUCUGUUACCUCAGCCAUAACGACCUUAUCGAACACCUUAUCUUCCAUAACUUGCUUUGCAAUUUGCUUGACUAGCGUGGUUUUACCCACGCCGCCCAUACCGUGGACCCCAAUUAUGUUGAGCUUAUCAUUCCUCAAUGCCUCCACAACAUCUUGAAAUAAUUUCAUUCUUGAAUCAAAGGCCUCGAAAUCUUUCGCUUGCAUAUGUUCUGUACUCUCUGGAGCAGGACGGUGGGAAACACUAGAGAAGUUGCCUUUUCCCACGAGACUAGCGGCAGCUUCUGCGGCCUUUGCUGCUUGUUUACUAAGUUUAUAACGAGAAAUCAAGUUGGGGCAAAAUCCUUUGAAGCAGGACUUCUUAGCUCUAUCUUCAUCAUCAAUGAUGGAUUUUGCAACCCCUUCACUGAUGAAUUCAUCAACGUUAUUAAGCCAGUCUGCAACAUCCUUGUAAAUCUCAUCUCUUUGUUGAGUAGCCUCACGAACGGGUAUUCCCACCCUUUCUCUUUUAUAUUCUAGCUCCUUCACUUGAACUUUUAGCUCAGCUAUGUAGCUCUGGUACUUGAACACAUAAGAGAUCUGCCGCAUAAUCGGUUCGAACAAUGCCUUUGCACCUUCUGUUACAAUGCCGGAAAAAGUAGUGGAAACCAGGUCUGCAGCCAUUGCCUAGCCUGUUGCUUUCAUACAUACAUACAUACAUAUAUAUAUAUAUAUAUUAGCUGUUGGAAAAAUUAGAUUCAAAUAAAUUAAAAUGAACUAGGGGAAAGACGGAGAAAGAAAUGACAACCAACAACUUUUUAAAAAAAGGUUUCAAGGGCCUGAAUGGAAAACCAACAAUUUAAAAAAAAAAUUGUAAGAUGGAUGCAGAUUAACCAUUGCUAAUAUUACAUAAGAACACAGAAGUUAACAAUGAACAGUACGUAGAAAAUUAAAUGACAAGAUUAAAACAAACAAGGGCUAUUUUUUCUUGGACAAUUGUACCUAUUUAAUUAUUAAAGAGUUAAUGACCUUCACUGCUGGCCUUGAAUAUAUAAGAACGACCAGAAGAUGAAUAUUAACUGCAGACGAAUGUAAGUAAAGAGUUCAUGAGAGUGAGUAAUACAAAUGAAUUGUAAAAGAACAAGACUUAAGUGUGACCCCAUCUUUUGUUUUAUUAUAUAAAUAGAACACAUGAUCAUUUUUAACAAAGUGAUCAAUAACUCUAUGCGUUAUUUAAUUGAUAUUGUAACCAAUUUUAAGGGAAUUUAAUAAUAAUCAUUCAAUGCAUAAAUUUAAAAUUAGAUUUUUUUAAUUCUUUAUUUAAAUAUAAAUCUUAAUGGAAAAUUAUAAAAAUUUAGAGAUAAAAUUUUUCAAUCACCAAGGAAAAAAAAUGGGAAUGAAAACAGAGGAAUCUUGUUUUACCUUUUUUUUUUUUUCCUUAACUCUUGUUCCUAUACAAAUAAUCUUGUUUUGAUGAUAGUGCUCGUGACUAUGGGAAAAUUUCUAAUGGAAACAACUCAAUUUCGGAAGAUAAGCUUAAUUCUGCAAGUGAUGAAUUUGUUCAAUUGACUCUGUACUUGAACUCGUUGGAUUGGUUGAUUUACGAUUGACUGCAUUUCAAUUCUGCCUAAAAGAUCUUUUUAAUAGCUAUCAUGUACUCCUUAAAAGCAAUCAUUUUUAGAUUUGACUGAAUUUGAACUUGUUGGAUUGGCUGUUUUUAGAUUAUUGAUAUGAGAUACUACAAUGUAAACAUUUUCAUGUGGCUGAGCCCUAUUCUAAAAUCUGUAUGUUGCUUUAGAAAAAGGGCUUUUCCUACUGAUAUUUAAUCUUCAAGUAAACUUAGAUAUAAAGUAAAUCAAAUAAAAUGACAAACAAGCAAUAUAAUAAAAGACAACAAACUGGCAAUAUUGAUACAAAGGCAACAGAUAUUAAACUUUAGGACAUUUUUUUCCUAGCUUUCAUUUGUUGGAGGAUUAGAGAUUUUGGUAUUACCGGAAAGCUAAAAGGUUUCAAGGGUCUGAGUAGAAACCUAUAAUCUUUUUAAAAACUUUCUUUUUCUUUUUUCUUUUUUCUUUUUUUGGGGGGGGGGGGGGGGGGGGGGGGGGAAGAAUGCAAGUUAACCAAACGAAAUAAUAAGAGCACAGGCUUUAACAAUGAACAAUAACUUAAAACUCAUGCAAAGUAAAUUCAAUAUUAAAACAAACCAGAGAAAUUUUUUUUCUUGGAAAAUAGAUGGAAAUUAUGAAAGAACAGAUGUCAAGAUCAAAGAUCUACUAUACACAAACACACACAUUAGAGGAUUUGGAAAAUGUGCACCUCUUUAAUUAUCUGGGAUUAGAGAGUUGGUGAGAUUCUCCAUUUGGCCUUGAAUAUUUAAGAACAACCUCAAAGAGCAAAAAGAUCACCGGUAACUGCCGAGGAAUGUGUAAGAAAAGGGUUGAUGAGAAUAAUAACAUUGACUUGCAGAAGAAAAAGCAUUAAUCAAGCACCCCUUUUUUAUAUCAUGUAUUUGGUUAUUGUUGCCCUGUUUACGCACGUAUAGGAUAAUUAUAUGCAAUCUUUUUUUAAAAAUCCACAUGCACUUUAGGGCUUCUUUCAUAAAAGCAGAUACCGGAAACACACAAAAAUCAUUUGAGAGAGAAACCGAACAGCAAAUCAUCAAAGUAAGAUCAACAAUAUAUGAUUUGAUUAAUGCAUAUUCAAGAACAAAACAAAAAUAAAUAAAUNNNNNNNNNNNNNNNNNNNNNNNNNNNNNNNNNNNNNNNNNNNNNNNNNNNNNNNNNNNNNNNNNNNNNNNNNNNNNNNNNNNNNNNNNNNNNNNNNNNNNNNNNNNNNNNNNNNNNNNNNNNNNNNNNNNNNNNNNNNNNNNNNNNNNNNNNNNNNNNNNNNNNNNNNNNNNNNNNNNNNNNNNNNNNNNNNNNNNNNNNNNNNNNNNNNNNNNNNNNNNNNNNNNNNNNNNNNNNNNNNNNNNNNNNNNNNNNNNNNNNNNNNNNNNNNNNNNNNNNNNNNNNNNNNNNNNNNNNNNNNNNNNNNNNNNNNNNNNNNNNNNNNNNNNNNNNNNNNNNNNNNNNNNNNNNNNNNNNNNNNNNNNNNNNNNNNNNNNNNNNNNNNNNNNNNNNNNNNNNNNNNNNNNNNNNNNNNNNNNNNNNNNNNNNNNNNNNNNNNNNNNNNNNNNNNNNNNNNNNNNNNNNNNNCCCCAGGGGAAAAUCUGGAAUUCCUUUUUUUAAUUUUUUUUUUUUUAAAAAAACCCCACCGGAAAUUCUUAAAAUUUGGAAAAAAAAAUUUUGAGUCCCUUAUUCUGGGGGGGGGGGGGGGGGGGACGAAAACAGAGGAAACUUGUUUUACAUUUUUUUGAUCUUAACUCUUGUUCUUAUAUAAUAUUUUCCCUGGGAUUUCAGGCAAACCAAACAAAAAAAAAAAAAUUCAAUAAAGAGCAAGUUGCUCUAAUUGAUUUAUCUUGUUUUUCAGGCUAUUUUGUGACAUGAUGAUAUGUAAUGCUCUUGAAUGCUAGAAAAAUUCUAAUGCAAACAUUUUUGCAAAUGACGAAUGUAAAUAACUUUUUUUGAUUAAUUGAAUCUCUAAUACUCUUACCCUAUUCUAAAAUUUGUAGGUUGCUUCAGAAAAAAAGGGUAUUUCUCACUCAUCUUCAAUCCUCAAGCACAAUUAGAUUAAAAGCAAAUCUAAUAAAAUAACAAACAAAUUAACAAAAAAAAGAAAAAGAAAAAAAACAAUGUUGAUCUUGAGACAAUUGAUACUUAAACAGAGAAUUCUUUGUUCUUUUUUUACUCCCCCUGGCUCGAGGAUUAGAGUCUUUCUUUGCUAUUAACAGAGAGGUUUUAAGGGUCCGAAUAAAAACCCGCGCUUUUUUUAAAAACUUCUUUUUUUUUUUUUAUUGGGGAAGAUAGAUUCAAAUUAACCAAAGCUAGUAAUAAGAACACAGGCCUUACAAAUGAACAAUAACUUACAACUCAAGCAACAUAAAUAAUAAGAUUAAGACAAACAUGAGAUUUUUUUCUUCGAAAGUAGAUGGAAAUCAAGUAAGAACAGCUAUUAAAAGAAAUUACUAGAGAAUUUAGAACAUGUGUACCUCUUUAAUUAUUUGGGAUCAGAGAGUUGAUGAGCUCUCUAUUCGCCUUGAAUAUUAAGAACUGGUAUUAAAAGAAAUUAUGAAGAACAAUUUUAGUGAGCGAUAGAUCACUGUUAACUUCAGAGGAAUUUGUGAGUAAAAAGCUGAAAAGAGCCGUAAUAAUGAAUUACAAAAGAAGAAGACUUAAUCAAGCACCCCUUUUAUACCCGAUUUUUAAGAUUUAGUCUUGAAGUUCACAAUCAAGAACAAAGACGAAGCUUUAAUAAAGCAUGCAGUGAGAUACAAGAAAUGGAUCGGGCAAAAUACCUUACGAAGCGUUUCAUAUUUUCUAAUGAAAUAAUUAAGUUGAAGUUUUCGACGAAUAAAUACUUGUUGUGCUUGAAUAAUUUUGGCAUAUACGUUACUUGUAUCCUGCGAAAUUGAAAAGCACAUUGGUUUAUUAGAGCUUAUUAGGAGGGAAAAGCUUUGUAAGAUACCUGAUAAAAGAUAAAGUAAAAGCUUGAAUGAAGAAUGACAUUUUAGAAAGAAACUAAAGUGCAAUCAUCAAAGUGGGAUCAAUAGUGACUUGAUAUUUCAAUUGUUCUGUCCACAAAUGAUGCUUCGUUAUUACUAAUUCCAGAUGGACAUUAUUAGAAAAUGAUCUUAUGUUUAACAGAAAAAUAAAAACUCGUCAUCAUACAAAACAGCGUGAAGAAAUCUUCAAUUUGAUUAUUAUAAAAUAAUAAGUUUCAUUACUAGAUUAUGCGGACAUUAAUGUUAGAGAUUUGAUCAGAUUAUCAUAUAAUUUACUAAACGCUUUGAGAAGAACAAUAAUUAAUUUUUAAAAAAUUGAAAAAUAAAUUAAAUAAAGAGUACACGCAAAUAAUGUUACUUCCAAUCACCAAACUGAAAAACAGGGGAAUGAUAACAGACGAGUCCCUGAUUAUCCUCUCUCUCUCUCUCUCUUUUUCAAUCUCUCUCUUUGAUAUCCAUAUCUGAGCAUCAGAGCUUGACAUCUUUGAUAAAUAAAUAUGCUUACUGGUACUGUUUUUGCAUAUGUCUUUCACAAAAUCAUUGUAUACGCUUACAUAGAGAAGAAGAUUCAGAUAACUUUCAAAAUCUGAAUCCGCCUGAUGGACAGGCUUGACCACACAGCCCCGAGACAAGGAAGUCCAAGCAACUAAUCUAAACCGUUCUCCUUUAUUAGCUAGAUUUAGUAUUUGGGUUCUUUAUGUAAAACGACACUAUGAUCUUGAAAUUUUGAUUUAAUUAAUAAAUAGUUAAAUUCUUAAUGUUUCAGGAGUAGAUACAUAGACUCUCUUCUAAUUUUAGUCAUUACAAACAAUGCCAUUGUGCGGUUAUACUAUUGCUUCUUUUAUGAAACCAUUCUCACCAUCACAUAGAUCUUGGCAUAUAGAGUCUCAUAAUGUCAUCAAAUAAUUUUUUUUUUUUUUAAAAACAUAAAAUAUGAUACAUGUAUUCAUUUUUUUUCAAAUUAGGGUGUAUUAUUCUUAAAACUUAAGUGUUCUACUUAUAAAUAUCUUGAAGGUGUGAGUGUUUUCUUUUCGUAAACAAACCGUAAAAGAAAAAGAGGAACAAUAAUUUUUUACUUAUCCUUAGAGAUAAGAUUCAAUCGGGAUGUGAGUAAGUGUGUUUUUCUUUUUUUAUUAUGCUAAAUUAUCGAGUCACAAAGCAUAUUGAUUCAAAAGUAUAACUUUAUACUGAUGAUAGAUAAUUUCAAAACAAUGGAAUGAAAACAGAGGAGCUCCCCCCUCCCCCACCCCAAUCCCCGCCCCCCCCCCCCCCCCCCCCCAAAAAAAAGUUCUUCUUCUUUUAUAUAUUUUUCUUGGAAUUUUAGGUAAAAGAAAAAAAAAACUGAGAUUGAUUUCAAGGGAACAGGUGGAUAAUAACUAAAAUACUUAUUUUUAUAUAUUUGAUAUGUGCGCUCACUAUUAAUAGAACUUAUUAGAUACUACAACUUAAAUAACUUCCCAUGGUUGAUUGAGGGUAUGUUUGAGAUUUCCUUUACUUUCCAAGAAUUAAUUUCUACCUUGAUUCUGAACAAAAAAAUAAUUUUACAAAUAAUCUAUUAGGGUGUUUGGUAAAUGAUGAUUAUUUGACAAUCAAUUUUUAAACGGUUUACUAUACAAAUCUGGUAAAUGAAAAUUAAAAGUGUAAAAUGUUCAUGUACAAUGACAAAAAUGUACUUGUUUACUUGUUUGUAAUUUAUUUAGAAUAUUAUUAUUUAAAUCUUUUUUUAUUUACAAGAUUUUUUAAGAGCAUAUUCUAUUUUCUUUAUUACAUAUUUAAAUAAUUUUUUAUUAACUAUUUUAAUUUGCAAUAAAAUUAACUUCAAUAUCUUUUUAACUAAAAAAUUUGUUAUGUAGUUCGUGAUAUAACAAAUACUAACAUAUCAUUAGUUUGAUUAAUAAAUUAAGUGCAAAAAAGAAAAUGCAAAAAUUUAAUCUUUAUAUAAACUUUUAUGUACAUAAAAUCAUUGUAAUCAAACUAGUUCAUAGAAAUAUAAUAUUAUAUACAUGUGUGUAAAAAAAAAAAACAUAUGACCAUAAUAUUAUCCACUCAUUAAACUUGCUGCACUAUUAUUUCUCAAUCUCUCCAUCUCUCGACCUUCAAGAACAUUACUACCAUAAUCUUCUUCUUCUUGAAUCCAACCUCUAUUUCCUCAUCAUCAACAAUGCGACCAAUUUGCCUUGAUAGCCUUUCAACUAGAAUAGAGUUGGCAGUAGAUAUUUUAGUACUCUCAAACUAUGCCCAAACAGGGUCACCAGUGAUUGUUGUAUUAAAAGACAUUCUAUUUAAUUUUCCUCUGACUCUGGGUCGAUACCUUUUAUGCAAAAUCUAUUUACUUAAGGAAUUUUCUACACAUGUCGAUAUCAUAUUAAAGUGAAUUCAGAUCCUAUAUUAUUGACAUUAAAAUUUAGCCGAAUAGUAAAAAAUUUCCCUUUUUGUUUGUCACACAACCAUAUAGUCCCAUUUUUGGUUAUAAGCUCACAAUAUGUAAGGGAAAUGAAGAUCUAUUAAAACUUUCCCAUAAUAUUAAACAUUAAACAAUAUCAACAUUUUGUGCAUAUGGUGCCUCAUCAACAAUUUGAUGUUCAUUUUGUUGCUCGGAGGAAUAUGACUACCUAUUAAUUAAUUAGCAAGAAUUGCGUUGCGAGUCCAUGUUUUUGUCGUUUGGAUGGAGGAUGUGCCAUCUUUUUAUUGUAGAUGCUUUGUAAGGCUUUUGAUUUAAUGAUUUAAUGCAGUCAAUUAACAAAAGCUUACAUAUAUUAUUAUGUAGUUGCUGAGAUGUCUGUUCUUGAUAAAGUCGAUUUAUUUACACCCAAGCCAACGGAAUCAAAGCCUUUUCGUUAAUAAUAUACACGGUAAUUGUUUUUGUUAAAUUGAUUUCUGGCUAACAAGAUAUUUGAAAGCAUUUAGGUAGCGUUUACAUUUUGCGUUGGAGUGAGAAUCGUGAGAAAUGAGAAUCCUGGGAUUAGGAGUGUGGAGUGGGAGUCGAAGUAUGUUGUUUACUUACACUGAAAUGGAAGUAUGGAAUUGAAAUCAGAAUCCAAUUUAUUUGUUUACAUUGUCUUAGAUUGUGAGUAAUGAUUUUAAAUUACAGCUUUACUCUUAAAGAAUUAUAGUUAUUAAUUACAAAAUUAAUAAAAAUUAUAUUUUUAAAUUAAUAAUAAUUAUUAAUAUUCUUAACUAUGUAAAUCACAAUUAUUUUAUUAAUUUUAAUUUUAAUUAUAUAAAUAAAAAAUUAUUAAUAACAACAAUACAAAUGAAACAUUAUUAUUGAUAAUAUAGUACAAAAUUAAUUUUUUUAGAAUAAAAUAUUUAUUAUUAUUAAUUACUAAUAUUAAAUAAAUAUAAUAGUAUUAUUUUUAAAUAAGUAUAAUAAUAUUAUAUUUUCAAAUAAAAAUAGAAUAUAGUAAUAUUAUUAAUUCUUUAUGAAUAUAAUGAUAUUAUUUUUAAGUAAUUUUAACUUAGAAUCAAUGUAAAUUAUUAUUUUUAACCAAAAAAUUAAUAUUAUUUUAAAUAUGUUUAAUAUUAUUAUUUUUAAUAAAUUUAAUUUAUAAAAUAAUAAAAUAUUAUUAUUUAAAUAAAUAUGAUUUUACUUAUUUUAUUAAAUUUAAUAAAAUAAAUAUGUUUAAUAUUAUUAUUUUUAAUAAAUGUAAUUUAUAAAAUAAAAUAAUAAUAUAAGUUAAAUAAAUAUGAUAUUAUUUAUUUUAUUUUAUUAAAUAUAAGGGUGAAAAAGGAAGAGAGGCGAGUGAAUUUCCACUCCCACCUUCCUCCAUGGGAGUGGGAAUCUCACUCCCCCACUCCAAAAUUAGGUGGGAUCCACGGAGUGGAAUUCUCACUUCCCCUUUGAAAAUUGUAAGUAAACACUGGAGUAAGAGGAAUCCACACUCCUCACUCUCACUCCAAAAAGUAAACACUAUAUUAAAGAAGUCAUUGACUUAUAAGAAAGCCAUGAUUAAAUACACGGCGAAGCAUGUGAGCUCGUUUUUCAAUUUCUUUGAUCACUCAUAAGUAGGGGUGGGCAAAAUCGGAUUCGGAUUGGGUUCGGGUUGAUUUGAUCAAUUUCGGAUCAAUCGGGUUGGGGAAAAAAUCAUCCGAACUCAAUCCGAAUUAUUAACCCGAUCCAAUCCGAUCCGAAUAUAAUUCGGAUCGGAUUGGAUCGAAAAUUCGGAUUAAUUCGGAUUAGAUUCAGAUUUAAAAGCAUUCGGGUUAUAUAUCCAUUCUAUAUUUCUGGGUUAAUUUCAGAAGCAAUCAAGUAAAACAAUCAACCUUUUCUCAAGAUAUAGUUUUGUUUUAAGCUUUUUAAAUUAAAUUAUUUAAAACAAUAUAGUCAAUACCACCAAAAACUUGGUGACAGUGAAUGUGGAGGUGAAUUUAGUUGUAGCAGUUGUGGUAACCGGUGAAGCUAGUGGCAGCAAGCGGUAGCAGUCGAGGUGUAGUAGAUUCCAUCGGCACGUUGCGGUUGCAGCGAUGGCUUAGCUUUGAACGAUCGCGUCGGUGACUGAUGGCUGCUGGUUCACGCAGUUGCAUCUCCGAUUUGCUGGCUGCUGCUUCUUGCGGUUGCAUCUCCGAUCUGCUCGCCGCUGCUUCGCUGACAUCUCCGAUCUCCGAUGGUUUGGCUUCGCACGAUCACAUCGGUGAUUGCUGGCUGCUGGUUCGCGGCUUCGCGCGGCCGCAUCUCCGGUCUGCUGGUUGCUGCUUCUUGCGGUUGUAUCUCCAAUCUGUUGGCUGCUGCUUCGUUGUUUGGCAUCUCAACAUUUCCGAUCUCCGAGGCCAAACCUCUAUUUGUGUGUGACCGUGUGUGAUGUGAGUGUGUGUGUGUGCACUUACAGAUUAUUUUAAUUUAGAUCUAAGAUUUGCUUUUUGUGUGGUGUGAAUCCGAUUUUGUUGUGUUUGCCACUUUGUUAGUUUGUUACACAGUUUUUUUUUUAAGCCAACCCGAUCGGGUUUUCGGAUCGGAUCGGGUUUCAUCCGAUCCGAUCAUGAUCCGAUCGGGUUGGCAAAGUUACAUCCGAUUGGAUUUUGUUAACAAUCCGAUCCGAUCUGAACCCGAUAUUUUUUGGGUCAGAUCGGAUCGGAUCGGGUCGGAUAUUUUGCCCAACCCUACUCAUAAGCUUUUCUAUACCACUCACUAUAUCAUCCUUUUAAGUCAAUUUCGACUGAUCAUCAGAGAUCAUGCACCCCACCUUGAGAUGAUUGAUCACCAAUUUGGCAUUGUAACGUUGAUCACCUCUAAUUGCCCAUGCUAAAAUUGAGACCCCACAGCCAAUUGCUUCUACAGUUGAAUUUUAUCCACAGUGAGAUAAAAAUCCACCUAUUAAUUGAUAACUCGGCAUCAAUAAUUGUGGUGCCAUUCCAUCUAUUAUCAAACCCUUUUUACCGGCUUUACUAUCUAAACCACUAUGAAAAUAAGCUGGUUAAAUGACGUGGAGGAUCCAAUCUAUUUACAUCAGUUUGAAUUACCUAAAUAAUCGGUGGAUUUGAUGCUUCUAAAUCAUUGGCUAAUGUUGAAUAAUCAUUUAAGGUGGGACCCAUUUCGGUACCAAAUGACAUGUAUAACACUGAUCCACAUGAUUUCAAAUCUAACCAUUGAAUGAUCUCAUCUUUGGUCAUGUUAGAACUCCGCCGGUUGGUUCUCAUCUCACAAUCACGAAGCACUGAACCGGUCGAUUUGUAAAAUUGUUCAGGUAACAAUGGGCCCACUCCCCACACUAGCAUCAACACCAUCGAUCCCUCCACUUGCUUCAUCCAGUGUGGUUGAUCACUCGGUUCUGAUGGACCUAUUUUCUCUGAACCGGGUGCACCUCACAAAGGUUGUGGGCCACCAGGAAGGGACCCGUGAGGCCUGCGUUUAAGAUCUGAUUGGAAUAAAGCAACAUCCUUGGGUAACCCAAGAAGUAAAUGGGCCUCUCCCGGUUUGGCAUCCUGGAUGCGAGCCUGCCACAUGGCACACUCCACAGCUGCUGAGCAAGCAUCAGAAGUGAAGAACCCAACAAUGGGAACUUCAAAAUUCUUGAAAACAUCAGCCGUCCAGCCCAUCAUAACGCCGAUGACUACGCAAACAGGUCGGCUUUCGGGUUCCGGGUUGAAAGGAGGUUUCGAAGACCCUGAAGCAUUUGGUUGUGCAUGACAACAUGGAGGUAAGAAGGAGGCGAUGGUAGUAGUGGAGAUGAGGAGGGUAUUUCGGUAAUUUCACAUAGAGGGUAUUGGUGAAGAGAGGAAGGGGUGAUGCUGGUGGUGGAAACGUGAGAGGGAAUAAUGAGGGUAGAUUUGUAAUUACGAGAAGCAAUUUGCUUGCAUAAUUCAAUGCAUGGAAACAGAUGUCCCUGACCGAAGAACGGGACAAUCCAAAUCUCAGCCUCAGCAGCAUUCGCAACAGAGCUUGACAUCUUUUAUGAAUUAUUUGAGACUUAAUUGUUAUUGACUGCUUUUGCCAUCUUUCAUAAAACAUUCUUUGUUAUAUAUUCAAGUAAAUAAAUUUAUCGUUUAAAAUUAAUUUUUCAUGUGGUAAAAGCAAUACUAAAUAUGGGGUGGAGAGAAUAAUUUGUAGGGCAUACCCCCACCAUUUAUUUAAUUUCAUUAAAAAAGAAAGAAAAGAAAUAAAGGCUUGUUCAACAUUCAAUUAAAAUUAACAAUUCCAUGAUAAAAUUACUUGAGAAUAAAAAUUUUUAAAAAAAAAGUAACUCAAAAACGAGGAAUUUUUGAGUAACUGAAGAACCAUAGAUGUUUUUUGGUCAUGAGCAAUUUUUGAGUUGACACAGAACUUGUAUAAAAAAAAUAGUUUUGAAAACUUCUUUUCUUUUUUCGUAAAUAUAGAUAUAAAAUUUUAAAAUCACCAAACACAAAACCAGGAAAAUGGAAGGAGAGCCCCUGUUUCUCCUAUGUUGCAAGCACAAAUUCGGUUUCUAAAGUUGUACCUUCUAAAUGCACCAUUUGUAUUGCUUUGUCUCCACUUGAGCUAACGGAAUUUGAUGAAAACAAAAUAAUUGAACGAUAGGGAUAAAUAUCAAAGAAGGAGCUUACAUGCCCUAUAUAUUCUCUUUGGAUGAAUAACGAAGGUGAGCUUUCAAAGUACAGAGAUUUACAUGUUUUAAUUGUCAUUUACAUUGCUGCAUGCUAAUUGCUUGAUAAAAUACCGCAACAAAUACGCAUUCUCGAUUUCUUAUAAAUUUAUUUUCUUACUCUGAAAAAAAUUGAAUGUUUAGAGAAUUUUGAAGGUUUUGGUGUAUGCAUUAAUAUUUUGAUUCUAUUUAUGUUGUUUAACUAAUGAAGAUGAUACAUCUAGCCUCUUUUUGCCCCUUGUUGUUUUUAUUCUUGUGCUUUAUAUACGGUUCAAGUGUGAUACACUUUAGUUUUUCUCAAGUGUUUGUUAGUAUUUCCCGAAGCAAAAUUUGUCACAGACUUUUAGUUCAAAAGUUGAAAUCAUAACUAACAUACUUCGAUUUUUUAUUUUCCUUUUUUCUUCGGUAUCUUUCUAUAUGGCAUUGCUUGAGAAAUUGGUGUACUUAGAUCGUAAUAUUCUGUAGAAAUAAGCCAAUAUUUCAUUAUGUACAUUGUUUAAUAUGAUAAGUAUUGUAUGGAAGUUUUACAGAUAAGCUCCUUAUAUAUUAUGCAUUAUGUUUUUAUCAUAUUGUUGCUUGGAACUUUGAAGGAUUAGCCACAGGGCUUUAGUCCUACAUGGACAUUUUAUAUUUAACAGCUGGUUAGGCAUUUUAUUUGAUGUUAUUUGGACUUGUAGGUGUUAAAAGUUUUGUUCAGUAAUUUUAUAAUUCAGAUUCCCAUUGUGAAAAGAUAGCAAUUUUUAUUGUGGGUCAGAUUCUGUCAACUGAUAUUUAGCUAAAAUAUCUCACUAACCCCUAUUGGUUAGGUGUUUUUUUUAAUUCACAUACUUGAUUUUUAUUUUCUUUUUAUCUGUGGAAUCACAUGUAUCAUUCAUAAGAAACAAGCUAUUAUAUAAUCUAUUCUUUAGAUCCAUUUAUAUGUAGUGGGCACUCUGAUUUCUAUUAUUUGAAUUUUUUGCUACUGUUACUACUCUUUCGGCCCUUCAAAUAGGGGUUAACAGAAAGGGUGAGUAUAUUAAUACAAAUUCAAACUUUCUUUUUCUAAUUUUAUCCAAAAUAACCUACUAUAUUAUUUUAAUUUCCAACUUUUGUCAUAGUCUAAUGGGCAGUUGUCUUGUCAUUAUUUGGUUUUAGGUAAGAAGAGAGAAAGUUAGUGAGAGGAUGAAAAUUUUGCAAAAACUUGUUCAUAGCUAUGGUAAUUAAGUAAUUUGAGUUCUUUUUUUUUGUUAUUGUUUUUUAUUCACUUUUUCCUGUCUUAAAACAAAUAACGAGUUUUUGUGUUUUUAAUAUUUCUUAUAAACUUCAUGUUGUUUGGUAUAAAAUUAGGUAAUUGGAAAGGUCUCAUGUUGGAUGAAAUUAUCAAUUAUGUGCAGUCCCUACAAAAUCAAGUGGUCGUCAAUGUGUCAGCAUCACUUUCUUCUUCAGAUGUUACUUGUUUUUCACAUUUAUUUUUCUCUCAGUCCUUUUUAAAAGAACAUACACACACAUACUAUGUAGAGUGACCUUUUUUAAUGAGGAAUCUGUCAUUUUAAUAAAAUGAAGAAUAAACUAAAAGGUAGAAGUACACGAACUCUAAUGCAAUAUACCUUUUCUGUUCUUUUACCUUUACUAUAAGAUAGGGAAUGAUAUAAAACUGUUCGAUAAUAGUAAGUGAAAUAAUUAAAAGGCUACUGUUCUAGCUCAUUUAAUAUAUCAAACUUUUCUAGCUCAUUUAAUAUAUCAAACUGCUCGAUAAUUGAAUUGGCCUAGUUAAACAUAAUUUUCAGAUAAUCUUUUUAAUGGUUUAUUUAUUAAUAUUUUGUUUCUUUCCAGUAUGAACACUUUGUUUUGACACGUGGUUAACAACCUUCAACGAACUCGGAACAACCUUCAUCACAUGCUUUCUCACGUGGUUACUUAAACUGAUAUGUUAAACGUGCUCCAUCCACGCCGUUUCCACUAAAUCAUUUUCUGUUAAGAAUCAGCUGAGCAGCGCGUGAGCUAAUGAAGUUUUUCGUAUUGAACUCAACUCUGCUAUUUUCCCAAAGCUGGAAAGCAGAAACAUCAUCCCUUUGGUUUUAUUUCACCUCAACCUUUUUCUGAUCCCAUUUUCAUUGUAAUUUCUCAUUUACUUUGAGUGAAAGUCAUUGUUGCUUUCGAACGAGGUUUUGCAACUAAAAAGGAAAAUGGGGCGGCUACAAUACAUGCGUGCAUCUGAUACAUGCACAAAAACUGACCAUUGGAUUAAAUGGAGUGAUCUAAUGGCUGAGAUUUGUUUCAUUAUUAAGCAAUAAAAAAAUUUGAAACAACCAGAAACCUGUAAAACCGGUCAUUUGGUUUAAGGUAAAAAUAUAUAAAUGAAAAAAAAAAAAAAAAACCCACCACUCCCUCGCCUCACCUCUCUUCUUUUGGGUUUAGUAUUGCUGCUUUUAACAUAAUUGACCUAUGGCCCAAAUCAUUUCUAUAGGGCGAAGCAUAUGAAUGAUACAUAUUAUCUUUUUUUGGCCUUAUGUCUUGUUAUUUGCAGUGUGAUUUGGUCUAGCUUAAGAGCUUAAGCUUGCAGGUUGGAUUUGUCUGACAGGGAACAAUUUAAUUUGUUCAUCGUGAUGUUUAUAUCCAUUUUGUACUACUAUCAAUUUCAAUCAUGCCUAAUUUUUAUAUGUAUUUCUCGUGGACUCUCAGGUUCAGUGCACAAGAGGAUGAAGACGAUGGACACCCAAAUUUGAUGUGGAGAACAACUAUUGCAAAUGGUCCUUGAUUUACUUCUCCAAUUGACUUGAAUUGGUUUGACGCAAUUUAUACUGUAUUUUUGUCAUCUUUGUAUGACUUGCACGUCGUCCUGAUUUGGUACAUGACUGGACACAGGAAUUGGACUCAUAUUUUUCAAACCAGAAUGCCAACAAUCAAGCAUUUUCUUUUGAAAGCACUGGCGUCUUCUUCAAUGCCAAAAAGGUUAGAGAUUUUCUGUAUCCUGUUUUGUAUUUGAUCAGUUUAGCAUGUGGGUGGCAAUCAAGAAAAGUUAUUAUAACAUUUUUGUGUUCCCGAAAAACUGCUGAUGAUGUGUGACUUCUUUUUAUUUGUAUUCUUUCUUUUUCUUUUCUCCCCAACAGUAUUAUGCAUUUCGAAGAGCUUCUUGAAGUUGAUUACCAUGUAUGCCACUUUCUUUACUCUAUGCUCAGGAUGUGAUUUUGCCAAGCAUUAAAAUGGUUUAGGUCAGAACCAUCAUCUAAAGUUUACUUAAAGUUGACGGAUUAAUUCCUUUUAAUAAUGGUCUAGUUAAUUUUACUAUACUCAUAAAACUAUUCUUAUUCUGAUAAUGCCACAAAUGUUAUGAUGUUUUCUUCAGCUAAUGAUCUUCUAUCAGGACUAGUUAGAAAUCAAAUGCUUAAAACACCGAUUGAAUGAAUAAUGCAGAAGUUUAAACAGUAUCUAAUUGAAAAUUGCAUGAAACAUGAAACAUCAAUUCAAGUCCUUCCUUAAACAAAGAAUGCAUCAAACAAAUCCAAAGUGUCUUGCAUGUCUAUAGCAUGACAAAAAAGUUGUAAAUGCGUUUAGAACCAAAUUAUUCAAGUACAGGAGAACGAGCAAGUUGAAUCAUGUACACGAGAUUGGCCUGGUUCGAGAUAGCUUCUUCACUGUACCUGAAGGGUUGGCUCAAUCUUUUCUUUAGAAUUCUGCACAUUUUGUAAUUACUCGUGUAAGCAAGCAUACAUUACAACUCUUGUACACAAACAAUAUUGUAUAAACUAAUGCGACAUAAUAUGAUUGGUUAAACAAAAACAUUACAUAGCCCUCAUAAUUUAUUUAUUUAUUUAUUAUUAUAUAUUUUCAGUCAACCAAUCAUAUUAUAUUACAUUAGUUUCUAUAAAAUAAUUUUCUAAAUAGCACCAAAACUUAAUUGAUACUCACCAUUUCAUUGAACAAUUUUUUUAUGGUGUCAUUGAGGUUGCCUUCCCAACAUCCUUCAUCAUCAUCAUCUUCUUCAUCAUCAUCUUUUUCUUCUUCGGUGACGUUCACUUUGUUUAGCAUUGGUGUGUCUAAGACUCCUUGAGAGAAGAUCAUCAUUUUUGGACACUCUCUCACAACUACUUGUUUCAAGGACGGGAAUUCAAGAGCGUAAUUACCUAAACAAAAGCUUGUUAGGCUUGGCAAACAAUCAAGUCCCAAGUACUUUAAUUCCUUGAAAACAAUGCAAUCUUUCGCUUCUUCUGCAACCGGCGACUGUAUGAUUUCUUCCAUCAUUUUGCAAUCAACUAUCUUCAUUCUUCCGAGAUUCACUAGAUUUUUAGAUGCUGAGAGCGUCAACACAUUUAUCAACCCGUGACACUUCGAUACUUGUAGUCCCCACAGAUUUUCCAAAUGCCACGAAGGUGGUACUAAUUUUUGCAACUUACUACAUUCCGAUAUUUCUAGCCUUUUCAAGUUUGCAAACGCUUUGUUGGAUUCGUCAUUUUCCUUCCAGAGAUGCUGCACUUUGUGUAAUCUAGAUAGCUUUAACUCCUUCAAUUGAGGGAAUGUAAGCUGAAAAUCAACAAAAUUAAGUUGUAAAUGAAAGUAUGUAUCCAAUCUCUGCAGUCUUCCCCUGCAUAUUUUAUGGACAAGAUUAAUCACGGCAUUUUAUAUUUUAUUUCCAAAUUAGUAUGCUUUGCAGUAGGAUCCCAAAUAUAAGUAUCAAAUCGAUUACCCUUUGAAACACAUAAAUGAAAUCUGAUACUAAAUCCAAUAUGAAUUAGCUAGGAAAACAGAGAUGCGACAAGCAUAAUUGAUAUAGUUCAUCACCUCAUGUUACCAGUCAUCGAAAUAAUUUAAGACAUUUUUUUAAUUCAUACUAUAAAGUUAGUUCAUAACUGUAGUUGUAUUGUUAAUUCAUAUAUGAAUCAAGAUGACAUGCAAAAAGAUGAGUCAUAAAAUUUGAUUUGAUUCUAAUGAAAUUACAUCUGUGCGAACAAAAGUGAAGGGGAAAAUAAUAAUAAUAAUAAUAAUAAUAAUAAUAAUCACCUUUUCAUCGAAGAGGGGUUGUACUUGAUGAGCCAGCAAAAAGUUCUCUUCUGAUGUUAAUUUUUGAGGUUCCUUGUUAUUUGUUGUCACAUGCACUACAGAGUUGGAUAUGAAUGUUUCCAUAUCAGGGCAAUUCUCAAUAGUUAGAUUCUCCAACUCAGACAGUUCAAUUAUAUUCCCAGUGAAGUUGCAGAAUCUUUUGAGUUUUGGAAGAUCAAUGAGCCUUAGUCUGUUAAGCCUAGGAAACCGGGGGCCUAUAUGUUCUUCCUUAGCAUUUAGCUCUUCUAAAUGAAGCACCUCUUCUAUUAAAUCACAAUUCCUCACUUCCAGGCAUCUCAAAUUGUUCAAGCAACGUAGCAGAUUGGUAGGAAUAGCACUCGACAUAUUCGUGCAGUCAUCCACAGCCAGUUGUCGUAAAUUGUUGAAGAAGCUGACAGGCACUGCUUGGCCGUGCCAUAUUUCUCUCAAGCGUGGAAAAUGUGAGAGUUGCAAAUGCUCUAUGUCACGGAAUCCAAUCUGCAUAAACCAAAACAAUUGCACUGGAUAUAUAUAAAUUUCUUUUUUUGAAAGGCAUUAGAUAUAUAUAUACAUUAAACUUACAUGUUUUGUGCUUUAACUUCUAAAAAUAUAUUUACAACGCAGGUGUAUAUGUUUAAAUGUGGUAUAGUGGAAUUAAGCUUAUUGCCAUUACUUCGUAAUGGUGUUCGUAACACCAUUACUUCGUAAAGUGAAUCGAUUAACACAUACCAUUACUUCGUAACACUUUUGUAUAGUGGAAUUAAGCUUAUUGCCUUCCCAAUGGUGUUCACCCUCUUCCCUUUCAGUCACUUGCACUACGUAUAGCUUUGGUGUGGAUGAGAUUCCCCGAGAAAAAGUCUUCAUGUUCGGACAAUGUGUCAUAGAAACUUGUUCCAAUGAUGGGAAUUCAAGAGUGUAAUUCUCCAAACAAAAGCUGGUAAGCCUUGGUAAAUCAUCAAGUUCCAAAAGUUUUAAUUCGUUGAAAGCAAUACGAUUCUCCUUCGCUUCUUCUCCAACAUGUCCUAUGAUUUCUUCUAUUUUUGCACAGUCUGAUACAUCAAGAUUCACUAGACUAUUGGGAAUUCCAACCUGAAAAUAAAGAGUAGCAUUCAACUAGAUUCAAAGUAUGUCAAAAUCAUACAAUUGUUUUAUGAAAAAUAACAAACCAUGAAUGUCUACUAGAUAUUUUUUGUUAAAGAAAAAAAAGAAAAAAUAAAAAUAAAUAAAUAGAAGUCCAGAAAAACAAAGAUAAUGAAAAUGCAUUUACACUAUUUAGUAUUAGGAACGGAGAAAGAAUUUCAGGUAAUUUUUAAAUAUUCUAAAUUCAUUUUUCAUCUCGAUGCUAGUUUUUUAAAAUUUUUAAUUUUCAAACAUGCCUAUUUUUAAAAUAACUAAACUAAAACGCUGUAUUUCCCUUUUUUUUUUUUUCCCGAUAUUCAUGCUUUUAAAAAUGGAAAACAUUUCUGGAAAACACUUCCCAACGCCAUCAACAUGGGACUGUUAUAGAGUGAAUAUUUGAGGAAUUUUUUAAUCAACGGUCGAUUCAAAAUGACCAUCAUGAAUUUGUGCUUAAUCAAUGGCGUAAUCAAUUCAUAACUAAACUAGAGAUAUUAACUACAUUUGAACACUUUUCUUUAUUUUUUUUUAAAUCGAAAUUUGAAGACCCAAGGAAAAGAGAAAUAUAUAUGAAUUUGUGAGCUUAAAAGCUGAGUAACUAAGUAUCUUUUAAUUUCUAAAAAUCUUAUUUAUUAGGAUUUAAGGAAAAAAACAAUUAAAUUGAAUUAUAUUAUGCUGUUAAAUCGUGUUUAAAACAAUUAUAUCGUUGACUUUAAUGCGGGUGAACCUAUAAAUUAGAUUGACAAUGCAGAGUUCAGAAUGGUGAUUUGAAGUACACUACUUUUUUGCCCUCCUGAUGUUUGAAGUAAAAUACUUGCAAUAAAUAAUUUGUGAAUGAAAAUUAUUUGUAAACACAAAAAUGAUUAAAAUAAUUGUUGAAUGUUACUUGAAAUAAAAAUUCAAAAUGAAUAUAGCAAUCUUACCAAUGGAGGAAAAAUAUUCAGUAGAUUAUUACACCCAGAUAUCUUCAAUUUUUUCAAUUUGCUAAAAGACUUCGAAGCAAGCUGGUGGUGCCAUAUUUUUCUCAACUUAUCCGCCUCACUAAUAUGUAAUACCUCCAGACUUGGGAGUCGUACCUGAAGUUAAAAAUUCAAUGCAAUUAGAGAUGUAUAUUAAUUAAAUUUGAAGACUCAACGAAAAGAGAAUUUAAAAAUUCAAUGAAAAAAAACCUUUUCAUCAAAGAGGGAUUGAGGUUGCAUUUCAGUGUGAAUGACGUCUUCUGGUGAGGCAAAGCUACUUAGUUUUGGAAGCCAAUGGAGCGACAGGUAGUGUAGUUUGGGAAAAACCUUAAAUUCAUCUCUUCCUCCUAACGUCGUGGUGUUGACUACCCCUUCAAUUGACCGGCAAUUACGAAUCUCAAGAUGUUGGAGUUGCCCAAGACUAUUAACCAUAGAAUAUGAAAACAAAUACUUCAGACGAUGACAACUCCACACGGUCACUUUUGUUAAAUUUUGACAACAAUAUAUUCCCUGAAAUUGAUCGGACCAUAAUUUUUUUAUAUUUGUUAAACUGACAAGUUCCAGUUCCUCCAAGCGUGGAAAAGUAACCUGCAAAGAAAAACCAUACAUUUUUGUUCCUUCAACUACAACUUCUAAUAUAAUAUUCUUUCGAUGAUUGAAGAUCAAUCGUGAUAAUAUAUUAAUUAAUUAAUUAUUAAACAGAAAAUUAUUACCUGGUGAACAGGAUCAUCCUCUGCAUUGAUUUCUAUGAAUCCCUGAGUUGUUGUUGGUUUCUCCAUGUCGGGCCCUAUAAAUGAACCAAAACAAUAUAUAAUAAACAUCCGUUGUUUUUUUCCCCAAAAAAAGAAAAAGAAAAAAAGAAAGAGUCAAUGUCAAUAAUCCUACCAAUAAUUAAUUUCAACACUUACCAAUAAUCAUUUUCAAAUCAUCGCAGUCUUCCACUUUUACUUUUUGAAGCCGCAAUAGGUUUUUGGCCAUAGAGAAUGAGAAGAGAUACUUCAAUUUUCGACAGGAAUCUACGUUUAUAAUCCUUAAGUUGCUGAAGGAUUGAUCUUCUCUGAGUUGGCUGUAGCAUAUCGUCUCCAAAUUAGUUAAAAACAUAAGAGACAAUGCCUCCAGCAAGGGAAAGACUUCGCAACGAACCCUAACUGAACCGACAAUAUGUAAAAUCUCAGAACAGUCUGUUACGAGAAGACGCUUCAAUCGUGGAAAACCUUCCCCAUCGUCUAAUUCAUGAACAACACUUUGAACACCCUCCAAUGUUUCUAGCCAGAGAUCUUCAGUUCUCUGCAGCAACAUUUUUGUCCCAUCAUUCUCCUGAAGAAUGCUAACUUUUUUUAUCCCCUUGAGCAUCAUCAAUCUUGAUGCUUCAGAUUUGACGAGCAAUGGGUCAAACUCAUCUUCGGGCCCAUCUCCUAUACGUAUCUUAUAUCUUUGCAAUUCCACAGAGACAAAAUCCGGCGGCAGAAUUUCGGCAUCCGGAACUUCUAUCUCCAAAGUAGUUAGCUCUGUCAACCUCUCCAAUUCGACAAGACUGGCAUUACUUCCUCCUUCAACCUUCUCCCACCCUGAAAAACCGUUACCCAUAUACAAUUCUUCUAAUUGAGAAAAAUUUUUGGAUAUGACAUUUCGGUGCUAUUCACCUUCAAGCCCACCAAACAAUUGCUCUCAAAUCUAGGAAAUUGGUAACCGCGGCCAAUNNNNNNNNNNNNNNNNNNNNNNNNNNNNNNNNNNNNNNNNNNNNNNNNNNNNNNNNNNNNNNNNNNNNNNNNNNNNNNNNNNNNNNNNNNNNNNNNNNNNGCGAGGCUGAGAAUCUCUAUUUCUUUAGUGUCCCAAUUGCGCUAUAUCUGCUAGUCGCACCAGUCUAAACACAAUGUUUGAAGGUUAAUGAGGCGACCAAGUGAUGAAGGUAAUGAAGAAGAGCCAAUUCCAGGAAACUGUAAAACUUUGAGUCCUUCCAUCCCUUCAAAAAAGUGGUCUGAAACUUGCAUAGGGCCAUUACCCUCCGUAUACAACAAAAAUAACUGGAGAUUGGGACAUUGCAACCUUUCAGGGAGCUCUUGAAUAUCUCUAUGAGGUAAUGAAAUAGCAAUUGGAUCUUUCUGUAUUGUCUCUUCCAUCUUUUUCUCCAAGUCAGCAACAUUUGGAACAUUAAACAUGCGCUCCUCUCUGGCAAUUGAUACGGCAACAACAUGAAUGACGUCAUGCAUUUUAACUUCAUCUUCAGCAUCACCGUCCAACAAUAAGCAUGAAGAUUUGAGGUUGUCGAUCAACCGAUGCACUCUACUCCUUGCUUCUUCCAAUGUGUAAACAUUUUCAAACAAACCCCAACCCACACCACAUCUCAAUAAGUCAGAAACUUGUAUGACAUUACCUUCACUGUAUAGACUACAAAGACGGAACAGAGAUUUUGCCUCCUCACUUUCCAAGAAGUCAUAACUCAAUUUUAUGGAGGUGUACACAUUUGCUUGCAUGCCAUGAAUUUCUCUAGCAUCCGAUCUUCUUAGCUGAUUCAAUGCAUCUUUCCAAAAGUAACUAUCCUUAGUUUUCAGAGCAUUUGCAACUGUACUCAGUGCAACAGGCAAACCUCCGCAUCUUUCAACGAUCUCAUUUGCUAUACUUUGAAAAGCGGAUAUUUUAGUUGAAUCACCCACUAUCUUUUCAAAUAACUGCAAUGCUUCUUUUGGUGGCAAAGCAUCGAUCGGGAAAUUUUUCUGAGAAUUCAUAUCAAUGCGCAAUAAAUCUCGACUUCUAGACGUCAAUAUUAUUGUGCAUCGUCUCUGAUCAUCCUUUGUAUCUUUCUCAUCAACAUCCCCACAAGGAAUUCCAACUUUUUCGAACUCGAGUUUUUUCCAAAUAUUAUCCAAUAUAACGAGGACCUGCUUCUCGUUCUUCAAUCUUUCACGUAAUCGAUCUGCUCUUUCGAAUUUAUUCUCAUCCGAGCCAAAUUUCAUGCCUAAGUCAAAAGCAAGUUUCUUUUGAAUUUCCUGAUGAUCUGGGGUCUGUGUUACCUCAGCCAUAACGACCUUGUCGAACACCUUAUCUUCCAUAACUUGCCUUGCAACUUGCUUGACUAGCGUGGUUUUACCCACGCCGCCCAUCCCGUAGACCCCAAUUAUCUUGAGCUUAUCAUCCUUCAACGCCUCCACAACAUCUUCAAAUACUUUCAUUCUUGAAUCAAAGGCCUCGAAAUCUUUCACUUGCAUAUGUUCUGCCCGCUUUGGAGCAGGACGGUAGGAAACAUUAGAGAAGUUACAUUUUCCCAUGAGACUAGCAGCAGCUUCUGCGGCCUUUGCUGCUUGUCUACUGAGCUUGUAACGAGAAAUCAAGUUUGGGCACAAUCCUUUGAAACAGAACUUCUUAGCUCUAUCUUCAUCAUCAGUGAUGGAUUUCGCAGCUCCCUGACUGAAUUCCUUGACGCUAUUAAGCCAGUCUGCAACAUCCUUAUAAAUCUCAUCUCCUUGUUGAGUAGCCUGAUGAACGGGUAUUUCCACCCUUUCUCUUUUAUAUCCCAACUGUUUCACUUGAUCUUUUAGGCCAUCUAUGUAGCUCUGGUACUUGAACACAUAAGAGAUCUGCCGUAUAAUCGGUUUGAACAGUGACUUUGCAUCUUCUGAUACGAUGCUGGAAAAAGCAGCCAGACCCACUUCUGCAACCAUUGCCUGUUGCUUAACAAUAUAUGUAUAUAUAUGAAUAAAAUGAAUAAAAAUGUCAAAGAAAGGAAUACAAAUAAAUUAAAAUGAACUAGAGGGAAAGACAGAGAAAGAAAAGACCGCAAACAACAUCGCGAUAUUGAUUUUGAACCAACUGAUACAUAAGUAGAGAAUUUCUUUUUCUAUCUUAAGGAUCAGAGGUUUUGCUAUUAACAGAAAGGUAUCCUUUAAGGAAAGUUGAUGGAAAUUAAGAAAGAAUGGCUAUCAAGAUCAAGUAUUCUGCUACUAAAAAUAAAUGAUAUGACUUAAGAAAAGUAAAUGAUAUGAUUAAGAAAAACCAGAGAAUUUUUUCCUAGGAAAGUUGAUGGAAAUUAAGAAAGAACCGCUAUGAAGAUCAAGUAUCAGAGAUUCUGCUACUAAAAGAAUAUUACAGGUUUUAGAACAAGUGCACCUCUUUACCUGUCUGGGAUCAGAGUCGAUGAGCUGCUGUAUUCACCUUGAAUAUAGAAGAAAUAUUACAGGUUUUGACUAAAGAGGAAUGUGAGGAACGAGUUGAUGAGAGUAAUAACAAUGAAUUUCCAAAAGAAGACGACUUGAGCAUUAAGCAUGCACCCCCUUUAUCAAUCAAAUAUUGGUACGUAUGUACGUAGGGACCAUUAUGCGUAUAUGAAGUCCAUUAGUUGCAAUCAGAAACCCUGGCCCAAUUUAAUUGACACUCGAUUUUUGAUAAGAAGAAGGCAAGGAUAAGGACAAAGUCAAUCAAUCACCAACAGUAAUUACUUCAAUCUUUGUCAAUCUACUUAAAUUGUCGAUCAACAUGAAAAUUGUUUAAAUUGAUAUUUGUAAAUCAAUCAAUUUUCUAGUUACUAUGAUUAUAACGUUUCACCUUUCAUAUUGGAUUUUAUCUUUUCGAAAGUUUUCAAAUAUGAGUGUCAAUAAUUAUUGAGACUCCAAGCCGUGCUCUCAAGAUCGUGCUGACAAAUCACUAUUGACUUUGUUUAUGCAAAAUUCAAAGAAAAAAAGUUAUGGUUUUGUAUUGCCAGCCCUGCUACUUUUUGUUUUUUUCAUUUGUAUUAUUUACGAAUUAUUUUUUAACAGAAACAUGAGAACUCAUCAUCGUAUAAAAUUGCAUGAAAAAAUCUUCAAAUUUAUAAAAGUAAAUUUCAUUGACAGAUUGUGGAUAUGUUAGAAAGAAUAAGGAUAAGAAUGAGUUAAGAAAUAAUAUAUAUAUAUAUAUAUAUAUAUAUAGAUAGAUAGAUAGAGAGAGAGAGAGAGAGAGAGAGAGAGAGAGUGAAAGUAAACAAUGUUUUGGUACAUUUGGUAUUGUUUUCAAAAUAUUUUGAAAAGAAAAAUUUUCAAUUAUCCAUCUAAGAAUUAUCUUAUUAUCCAAAAAGUUAUAAAAAUUUAAAAAUAUUUAAUUUUAUACCCAUUAUUACAAUGUGUAUCAACUGUUUACUAAAAAAAUAAAGUUACUCCUAAAACAUAAUCACCACUACAAUUUUGUGUUCGGUUCUAUUUUGUCACUUUGAACGAAUAACUUUAUAUUUUUAACAGAUGUUUCAUACAAAUUGCAUACAUUGGAUGUAAAAUUAAAUAAAUUUAAAUUUUUAUAAUAAUUUUAAUAAUUGAAUAAACUUUGAGUAAAUGACUGAUAAUUUCUCUUUUAUAAGCUACAAGAAGUUAAAAAGAAAAAAGAAAAAAUAGGAUGAUAAUUUCUCUUUUAUAUGCCUCAGAUGAUUUAUUGUUUCGGGUCUAAGAUUUUAAUUAUUCAACUUAAAAGAUUAAUAUAUUAUAAAUUAAUUAAUUAAAUAAUCAUUAAGCAACUAAAUUGGGUCCCCUGGAUGUCAAUUCCUUUAAUAUUGACGCAACUAUUUUUUUCUGGCAAAUAAUUAUUAAUGCACUGACGGAACUUUUGCAUAUCUACACAGCGAUUUUAAAUAUUACUGGUAACUGCUGAGAAAUGUGCGAGAAAGAAGUUGAUGAGAGUAAUAACAGCGACUUGCAAAAGGAAAAGACAGAAUCAUUCACCCCUUUUUGUAUCACCUAUUUGGUUACUGUUUCCCUGUUGACGCAUGUAUAAAUUUGACUGGUUUUUCUGCACUUUUUUGGCUGUUGCUUAACAAUGUGUGUGUGUAUUUGCUGUUGAAAAAAUUGGAUUCAAAUAAAUUAACUGAAAGAUUAGAGUUUUGACUAUUAACUGAAAGGUUUCAAGGGUAUGAAUGAAAAGCAACAUUCUUUUUUAGAAACUAUUUUAGAGGAGAGAUGCAAAUUAACAAAUGCUAAUAACAAGAACACAGAAGUUAACAAUGAACAGUAACUUAAAUCAAGAAAAUUAAAUGACAAAAUUAAGACAAACAAGAGAUAUUUUUUUCUUGGACAUUAAGAAAUAACUGCGGUCAAGAUCAAGGAGAUUAUGCUAUUAAUAGAAAUUAUCAAAGGAUUUAGAACAAGUUCACCUCUUUAAUUAUCCGGGAUCAGAUAGUUGAUGAGCUUCUCUAUUUAGCCUUGAAUAUUUAAGAAUAAUUUUAAAGAGCAAAAAGAUCACUGGUAACUGCUGAAAAAUAAGUGAGAAAAGAGUUGAUGAGAAUAAUAACAAUGAAUUGAAUAAAAAAAGGACUUAAUCAUGCACCCCCUUUGCAUAUCAUGUAUUUGGUUACUGUUGCCUUGUUGACGCAUGUAUAGAAUAAUUACAUGUAUUAUUAUAAUUUUGGAUUCGAUAUCCUUGUAUUAGUGUCUAAGAUUUUCAUGAAGAAUUAAACUUGGAAUGACCAAAAGAGGAAGCUGCAGUGUAUUGUUGGACCCAAUUAAGUUGAAGAAAGCACUAGUUCACAACCUUACGUUUGGAUAUAUUCUAAAGAAAUAAUUAAACAGCAAAUCAUCACAUGCACUUUAAUGAUUUGAUCUAUUGUUUUCAAAAGAAAUUGCAAUUAACAGUUUUUGUCAAAAGUUCGCACAGCGUGAAACUAGUGUUAGUAUAAUUUAAAAAAUUAAUUUCAGUAUUAUUUUUUAAAAUGUUAAUUAUUAGAUUUAUUUUAAUAAUAUAUUUAUAUUUAUUAUAAAAAAUUUAGUUAAAUAUUUGUGUUAAAUAGAAUUUAUAAUUAAUUUAAUAUAUCUUAGGUAUUAAUAAUAUUAUAAUUAUUCUAUAUGCUAUUGAAAAUAAUUUAAAUUUUUAGACAUUUAUUUUAUAUUAAGUUUCUAUUUAUUACAAAAUUUAGUUUAAUAUAGUAUAAGCUUGUAAAGUAUUAAAAUAUUUUUUUCAUUUUUUUUAAAAUAUUAAAAUUAUUUUAAAAUAUAUAUAUUAACAUUGAAGCUAAUUUUUUGAGUUAAUAGAGCUAGUAGGUGUUAUAGUAAAAAAGAGUAUCUUAGUAUCUCUUAUUGAAAAUAUAUAGAUCUAUAUAAUCAUUUUUUCAAAUAUUGAGAUGUAGAAAAAUAAAUUAAAAAAUUUUAAAUUUUAAUAUGGCCAUCGUAGGGUUAGAAUCCCCGCUCCAACCCGAUUUGGAGAUUUAUGUUUUUAAAAAAAAAAAGAACAAAGAAAAAAUACACACCCGACCAAAUCAAGCACCUCAUCAAAUCAAAAAUAAAAAAGGAAAGAAAUUAAUGGCUUGCAUGCAAUUUUGGAUCUGAAAUUAAAAUUACAUAAAAAUUAAGGCUUACGUACCUUAAUAUUUACAGCUUGUUUGAUGGCCCCAACAAGUUUAAGCAGCAUCAAAAUGUUGUGGCUCCUUAAAUGACAACAUCGACUUGUUUGACAGCUCCAACAAGGCUACGAUGAUCAGAAGAUGAGCCCUCAAUCAACAAGGCUAAGAUUGGCUUCUCUAUCCUCUGCCGACAUGUCCUCUUCUCCCAACAACCAGCGCCUUGCUCUUUGUCAUUUUUCCUCUUGUUAGUUUUCUUCUACAUAUAAUUAUUACACUGGGAAGUAUACACACACUUCUUUUCUUUUUAUAGUACCUUACUAUUAUAUCUUUACAAAACAAUAUCACCCUAAGACAUAUAUGUAUGAAAUAAAUAUAUAAGGAACGGACGAAAUAAAAUUAGAUCUAACACUAGUUUCAUGUGGUGUGUGAACUUUUGACAAUCCUCUCAUACCCCAACAAAAACUUUGUCAUAUUACAAAAGUUAUCACGACCAUAGACUUUUCAAUUGCAUAUUGGAAUUGCAAUGUCAUUUUAUUAUAGUAAUGUCAUUUCCAUUAUUCAUAGUGGCAGACAAUGGACAUCACGGGACACGGCUAGAAGUUAUCACGACCAUAGACUUUUCUAAUUUAUGAAAUAAAUGAAAUUAGAUCUAAUUCUAGUUUCAAGUGGUGUGAACUUUUGACAAUCCUCCCAUAUCCUAACAAAAGCUUUGUCAUAUUGCGAAAAUACCUUUUCAAUGUUUCAAUUGCAAUGUCAUUGCCAUUAUUCAUAGUGGCAGACAAUGGACAUCACGGGACAUGGCUAGAAGUCUAUGUUACGGCUUCUGUAAGUAACAGCAGCCAAUGGGGAACUUCCAUGGGGGCUAUAGGAGAGAGAAAGAGGUCCCAAUACAAGUGUUAGAGUACAAUUUAUACACUAGUUUUGCAUUGUUUACUUCCCUUAAUAUCGAUGUUUUGCAUUUAAUAAUAAUGAUUUACUUGUGUUUUACUUUUGUAAGUGCAAUUCUAUUGAUUUGUGAUAGAAUUGAGGUAUAAGAUGAUGUUUAAAGAUGAUUGUUCUCUUGGAGAAAUUUAGAGCGUCAGAAGAACUUUAUAGAUAAGGCGUGGGCGCGUGCUGUCAACUGCGGACCUGCAGUUUUUAGUUUAAUGUGUUUUGUAUUUUUGGCUAUUUUUGUAAUUACGAAUUUAAUAUUUCAAAUAUUAUUAUUUUAUUUUAAAUAGAACUUUAAAAGAGAAGAGAGAGAGAGUAUUUAAGGGAGGAAUCUAUUGUGAAAAAGGGGGGAUUUUAAUUGGAGAAAAAGAAAGAAACCCUAGAUCUAAUUUUUCUCUUCUCUCUAUGAAAAACUAAACUUAUUUUUUCUAGUUGAAGGUUAAUGAAUUUUUGAUUCAUCACUACUGUGAGAUCUUUCUUAUGCUUUAAUUGUUUUAUUACUUUUUGGGUAUUUGUUUAUUCUCUGAAUUAGUUUCAUGAUUAUGUUUGUUAAUUAGGUAAUUGGCCACUAUUUAAUUAUCAACUUAAUCUAUUGUCAAUUAAAGAAUUCAUCGUAUGACGAGUUUAAUGUUUGUGACAAAUAACAUAGCAGUGAGUUGUGUUAUGGGAAUAAACAAUCUAAUUUAAAUGAAUCAUCAUAUGUGUUGAUUAGGAUUUGGGUCGCUCUGGUUUUUCAGGCUGUCAAUUGAUUAAAUCCUAUGAUCGUAUCUAGGGUUGUCUAUUAAUUAGGGAAAUAUCCAAUGGUCGUACCUUGGUUAUCGACUAGUUAAGGAGAGAUUGGCUAUUAGAGGGUCUCAAUAGCUAUAACCAGUUUAUUCAUAAGUAAUAAUAAUCUAUUUUUGAAUCAAUGAUCAGUAGUCGAAUCAAACUGAGUUAAUUCCUUCAACCAAAGCUUUCUCCAAUUUGAAUUACAACUUUAAUUUGCAUUUUUGUUAUUUUAAUUUGAUUUUUUAUUAUUGUCAACAAUUCUCCCAUUUUACGUUUUACGUUUCAAAAGAAUUUAAAUAAUUACCGAUCUCUGUGGACACAACCCUGCUCAAUCACUAUACACAAUUUAUUUAGAGUAGGAAUUUAUUUUUAUUGGCUUCAACAACCAUCAACAAGGUGAUGGAAAUGGGAAAGUUCGAAGCUGUUACUUUCAGCUUCUGCACCGUAGCCAUGUCCCACGGGACAAGGCUAGAAGUUAUCAUGACCAUAGACUUUUCUAAUUUAUUUUUUCCUUUCAAAAAGGGACAAGGAUAAGUUUGGGAGAAUGAUUAUAUUUUUAAUAAAAGAAUUCUUUUUUAUUAUAAUACUUUUUGUCUUUAUUAAUUUAAAAAUAUUAACUCUUAUAUUUUAAUAAAUAUAAAUAUAAUAUUAUAAUAACAUAUAACAAUAUAUACAAAUAUUUAAAAAAAUUUAAGAUUUUAUUAAAAUAAAUUUUAUAAUAAAUAAAAAUACAUUAUUAAUAUAAUUUUAAUAAUUUGCAUUUUAAAAAGUAAUACUGAUAUUAUUUUUUAAAUAUUAAUUUUUUAAAUUAUAUUACUCUACCAAAAAAAAUUAAACUAUUAAAUUAUAUUGAUAUUUAUUACAAAAUUUGCAAUUAAUUCUUAUUAUAUUUUUAAUUGGAAUUUGUUCCUGUGAUAUAACAACAAUUGCUACAGUUUUUUCCCUAAAUAAAGAUGGAGUUAUAAAUUAUUUGUGUAAGUGUCAUGAAAGUAAUAGUUGAAUAACAAUAAUGGGGCUUUAGGCAAUUUUUUUUAUGAGGUCUUCUUGCAAUUUCAACACUUAAACAGACUUGUCCUUGAUCCCAAUUUAUUUACCCCAUUUGGGCCCACGAUGAGAUAAAUAUAUUCCUGUGAGAUGAAAAACAUCAGGAGAAGAAAAUGUUUUAUUAUAAUAAAAAAACAAGUGGUCCAUAAGUCUAUUUAUUACUUUUUUUAUUCAAUACAAAUGGCCAACUUAAAAAAUGAUAAAAAUCACAUAACGCACAAGCAAAAAUUUAGAUUUACAUUUUUUAGUUCUCUCCGUGUCUCUCUUUCUCUUUUUUAAAAAAAAUAAAUAAAUGUCAGUGUAAAAUUAGAAAAAUUUUAGAUAUAAACUUUGGCGAUGACCAAACAAAAAUUGCAAGGGAAAGAAAAUAGAGGACCCUUGAUAUCAUUAAAAUACUGAUCAUAGACACUACAAUAUAAAUAACUUGUUGUGAUCCACUCAACUUGUAACACUUUAAUCCAUAUUCUAAAAUUUGUAUGUUUGUUAGGAAUUUUAUUAUUGACAUUACUGUACCAAUAAAAUUCUAAUUUAUUCAUAUGGAAAGAAAACAUCAAGAAAGGACCUCUGAUUUUUAUUAUAACAGAAAAAAGUGGUCCAUAAGUCUAUUUAUUAUUUUAUUUAUUCAAUACAAAUUGCCAACUUAAAAAAUGGUAAAAAUCACAAAAUGCACAAGUAAAAUUUUAGAAUUACAUUUUUUUUAAUUCUCUUUGAGUCUCUCUCUCUCUCUCUUUAAAAAAUAAACCUCACUGUAAAAUUAGAAAAAAUUUAGACAUAAAAUUUGACAAUCACCAAACAGAAAAUGUAGGGAAAUGAAAAUGGAGGAGCCCUAUUAUCAUUAGAAUAUUGAUCAUAGAUACUAUAAUGUAAAUGAUUUGUUGUGGUUCAUUCAACCUGUCACACUCUAAGCCAUUUUCUAAAAUUUGUAAGGUUUAUAGGAUUUUUAUUAUUGGCAUCAUUGUAUCAAUAAUAUUAUAAAUUAUAUAUUCUAUUGUAAUGAAAAUUUGUGUAAUCUUAGGUAUUUAUUGUAUUAAAUUGUGUGGAUUAAUUAAGAAUAUUUUUGGAGACAAAAGAGGUGUGUGUACGUAGGAUUAAUAAUAAAAAAUUUCUAAAUAAAGGUGAUUGCUUCAUUGACAAGUACAUAUUUAUAUUCUCUAUUAGUAUUUGGGUUGUAAACUUUGUUUAUAAAGUGAAUAUAUUGUGGUAAGCGAUGUGGGCAAUAUCGGAUGCAAAAUAUUGAGAGAUCAUUAACGCAUAUAUUUAUUGCAUAUAGAGGAAAGAGUGUAGAUCCGGCCGUAACAAUUAUGAAGCUUUCCCCAAGUAUUCUCACGCUUCCUUAACUGUUCCAAAGUAUUUUUCAUAGUGUGCAGAUUUACUUUAUGGUGUCUUAAUUCGUCUAAAAUGAUUACUUUAGUUCUUUUGGGAUGAAAGGUCAUUUAUUGUGUUAGGAUUAAACAAUAGAAAAAAUAAGUAAUGGUAACGAAAGACUAAUUUGUGAUAUUGAAGCAUACAUGCUUAACUCAAUCCAAAACUUAGUAAGUUAGCUCAAGAGUUAAGAGUUGUCCAAAUCUUAUAUGCUGAACCCAAGUUCAAUACUCAAUUGAUGCAGGAUGUUAUUCCUAACACCGCCCGUCAUGCGUAGGAUUGGCAAAAAAACUCGAGUCAAUCCCGCCUAGACCUGCAAGCUUUAUUUAUGGCCAGCAUGAUGAAGUUACAGAUAUUAACCUAAAAAUUUGAAACUUACUAUGAAUGGCCUUGGUUAAAGACUUUUGUAACUUUAAUUUAUAACAAAUAUGUAUACACACACACACAUGUUUAGAUUGCAUUUGGGUGACUUUUUUUAUCAAUGCAAACAAUAUCAAAUUUAUCGGAUUAAUUUGAAUCUGAUCUAUAUCCGAUUUUGCCCGCCAUAAGCCCAAGUGACUCUCUUUUACUAAUUAAUAAGGGAAUUUUUUGACCUCAUGUCCUUGCUGUGGCAUUAGACUGUUGGUCAUUUUGAUUGUUUCCUACCUUCCAUUUACGCCAGCUGUAACAUUGUAUUAUUCACCAUUUUAGCCAUUUAAAUGAAAUUUUAUUUUUGUCAAAAAUAAAAUGACACCCUUAAAAUAAAAAAAAAUAGUUAUGUAGACCUCAAAUUUUUAAUAAAGAAUGUCAAUACCUCUUUUAACUACAAGAUUCGUAGUAGAUGAUAAAAAGAAAAUUAACUUCAAAUUUUUUCAUUAAAUGUAAAUCUGAUUGAAGUAGUUUAAAUUUUUCUAGUAGACUAAUAUAUAUAACUUAAAUAAUUAAUUUCAUUAUUAAUUGUUAAAAUGUUAACCAAUAUAUUUUUAAUUUAUUAUAAAAAUUUUAAAUAAAUCCUUGGAUUAAAUAGAUUUUACAAUUAAUGUAAUACUUCUGAUUUAUUAAUAAUAUUAAAAUUAUUUUAUAUGAUAUUCAAAAUAAUUUAAACUUAUAUAUAUAUUAAUAUUAUGUCUAUUUAUUAUAAUAUGGUUUAAUAUUAUACGGGAUUGUAAAAUAUUAAAAUAUUUUUCAAUAUCCAAUUAUUUUAAUAUGUAUAUAUCAUUACAUUUAUUUUAGUAUCAUAUUUAUAUUUAUUAUAAAAUAUAAAAUUAAUAAAAUUAAAGAGUAUUGCAGUAAAGUAAAAAAGAAAAGUCUUAUUAUCUCUUAUUCACGAUAUGAGAUUCUACAAAAUUAUUUCCCGAAACGGGUGUCCUUUUCUCAUUUUCAAAAGAAAAAAUAAAGUAAGAAUAAGUCCAUGGGUUUCAAAAACUUCUAGUCUUAUCCCGGGACUACAUUGUCUGCCACUAUAACUAAUGGAAAUGACAAUACAAUUGACAUUGCCUUUCGCAACAUGACAAAUUUUUGGUGGGAUAUGGAAGAAUUGUCAAAAGUUCACGCCAUGUGAGAGUUUUUGGUGGGAUGUGGGAGGAUUGUCAAAAGAUCACACCACAUGAUAUAACCACAAUUGCUAUGGUUUUUAUUUUUUAAAUAAUGAUGGGAGUUAUAAAUUAUUUAUAUAAAUUUGCGUAGAAACUAAUGUAACAUAAAAGAAGUAGCUGAAUAACAAUAUUUGGUGCUUUAGGUAAUUUUUAUAUGAGCCUUUCUUUUAUUUAGCGGCUCUAGUGCUUAAACAAACUUGUUCUCGAUCUUAUAACAGAAAAGGCAUCCCAUUUAAGCCUAUGAUGACAUAAUUAAACAUAUUCUUUUGUGACGAAAACAUCAAGAGAAGACAUCUCAUGUUUUAUUAUAACAGAAAAGAAGUGGUCCAAACGUCUAUUCGUUAUUUUAUUUAUUCAAUAUAAAUGGCCAACUUUAAAAAAAUGAUCAAAAUCACACAACACUCAAGUAAAAAUUUAGAAUUACAUUUUUUAAUACUCUCUAAGUCUCUCUCUCCUGCCCCCCCCCCCCCCACCCCGUCCCCUUUUUUGAAAAAAUAAACCUUAGUGUAAAAUUAGAAGAAUUUUAGAUAUAAAAUUAGAAGAAUUUUAGAUAUAAAAUUUGGCAAUCGCUAAACAGAAAAGCAGCGGAUUGAAAAUAAAAAAACUCUAUUACCAUUGGAAUAUUGAUUAUAGACAAUAUAAUAACUUGUUGUGGUUCAUUGUAGCACUCUGAGCCAUAUUCUAAAAUUUAUAGGUUUGUUAAGGCAUUUAUUAUUGACAUUAUUGUGUCAAUACUAUUAUAAUGAUAAUUUGUCUAGUCUUAGGUACUUAUUAUAUUAAAUUAUGUAAAUUAAUUGAGGAUACUUUUAGAGACAAAAGAAACACGUGUAUGUAGGAUUAAUAAUCGAAGAAUUGUAAAUGAAGGUGAUUGCUUCAUUGAGAGGCAUAUUAAAUAAUUAUGGAGAGUUGCACUAUUUCGGAAGCACAUAAUUAUACUUCCCUAUCAGGAUUUGGGGUAAACGAAGUGCUUUAUCUAUUGCAGUAAGCAAUGUGGACAAUAUCAGAGGCGAAAUAUUAAAAGAUCAUAACGCAUAUAUUGGAGCCAUUUAUCUUCCGCAACUGUUCUGAACUAUUCUUCAUUGUGGGCAGAUUUACUUAAAUACCUGCACAAUGAUUCAAUACUUCAAAGGUCAAGGAAAUGUCAAAAUAUGAAAUGAAAAUACUUAAAUACCCUUCUACCUAACAAAACUCGCAGAGAAUCUAUAAAAUUAAAAAAAAAAUAUUCAUCCAUGAAAAGCUUCGUAACAGAAAAACCGUCUUUCAAAAAAUAAAAACAGAAAAACUGACUCAUUUAUCUGCAAAUGAACCAAUCGGGACUCAUUUAAAAAAGAAUACAAAGCAAAAGUAAAUGACACAAAUUGCAUAGAUAUCUAGGAGCCGCAUCAAAAGACAAAGGUGUUAAUUUGUCCAAGAAUAAAUUCUCCUAGGUCAAAAGCAAUUAACGAUGAAAACUUUCUUCAUUAAGGUUCUGGCCUACGUAAAAAAACAGAAAAAAACCACCCCAAGGUCAAAGCACAACGAUAAAUUUAGAAAUGAAGUUUUUAAUUUUUUUUUAAUAAAUCAACGUGUAUCAAAAAUAGAUAAUAAUUUUGGAUAACUUUUUUUGAUAAAUAUAGACAUAAAAUUUUAAAAUCACCAAACAGAAAAACAGGAGAAUUAAAACAAAGUCCCUGUUUAUCCUCUAUUUUGCUUGUUAUUAAAAAGGGAAAUGAAAAGAUUGCAAGCGGAAAUUUUGUUUCUGCGUUGUCUCUUCUCAAUGCUGCAUGCAUUCAAAUUAAACCUUACAUAUGCUAGCAAACUAGCUACGCUGCAUGUAAGUUCUCGAUAAGUCCAAAUAAUAGAAUAAUUGUAAAAUGUUCAAAUUCAGUAAUUAAUUUUAUUUAUUUAUUUAUUCAAAAAUUAUUAUUAUUAUUAAUUAUUGUCAAUAAUAUAUUAAUAUACUAAUUAAUUGUAAAAAAAUUUAUCAUUCAUAACAAUAAUAAUGAUGAUGAUGACGAUAAUAAUAAAAAUUCAAAAUAUAUUAAUUAAUUAUAAUAAUAUAUUAAUUAUUUAAUAAUAAUAUAUUUAAAAUAUAUAUAAAUUGAUUAGAAUAGUUAUAUUAAUAAAUUAUAAACAUAUAUUAAUUAAUCAUAAUAAUUUUUUAAUUGAGGACAAAAUAGAUAUUUUAUAGUUUGUGAGAGGGGGCAAAAUGAUCAAUCUUGGGAAUGGGGGAUUGAUUCCCACCACCUUCCUUAGGAAUCAAUCUUCCAUUCCUCACUCCUAAUUUGGGUGGUCCCCAUAGUUCUGAUUCGGAUCCCAGCCUCCAUUUUAUGAAGUAAACAUCAUUAAUGAUUUCGAUUUCGGAUUUCGAUUCUCCAGUCCAAGAAGUAAAGGCACCAUUAUUGUUAAUUGGUUCAAACACACAAAGAGAAUGUACCAUGUAGCUAGGCGUCAAGGUUGUGUGGCACAAGUAACCUUUUUCUUUUCUUUUUAUUUUUCUUGUUUUCCUUAACGGAUCAGAAGAAAUCGGUGCCUUUGAGAUACUACAAUGUAAAUAAGUAUUUGUGGUUCAUUGAAUCUGUAACACUCGGUACCCUAAGGUUGCUUUUGAAAAAGGGCUUUUCUCACUGAUCACCAAUAUCCAAGUAAGUUUGUUUCAUUUCAGAAGGUGCAAAGUUUCAAACUUUUUGUAUUGGGAUGUAACAAACUUUGGCCUUAUAUGCUUGCUGUGACGUUAGACUGUUCAUUUUGAUUGUUUCCUACCUUCCACUUGCGCCACUGUAGCACUGUAUUAUUCAUCAUUUUAGUUGUUUAAAUGAAAUUUUAUUUUUGUCAAAAAUAAAAUGACACCAUUAAAAUUUAGAAAAAUAAUCAUGUAGAUCCCAAAUUUUUAAUAAAGAAUACCAAUAUUCCCCUUGACUACAAUACCCUUAGCAGGUGGUAAUCAAACAAAUUGACUUAAAAUUUUUUACGAAAUGUAAAUAUGAUUUAAAUAAUUUAAAUUUUCCAGAAGACUAAUAUAUAUAAUUUAAAUAAUUAAUUUCAAUAUUAAUUUUUAAAAUGUAAAUUAAUUUAUUUGUACUUAUAAAAUAUUUGUAAUUAUUUUAAAAUUUUAACUAAAUCCUUAGGUUAAAUAGAUUUUACAAUUAAUAUAAUAUUUCUCAGGUAUUAAUAAUAUUAAAACUAUUUUAUAUGACAUUGAAAAUAACCUAAAUUUUUUAUAUAUUUAUUUGAAUAUUAUGUCUCUAUUUAUUAUAAUUUGGUUUAAUAGAAUACGAGAUUGUAAAAUAUUAAUAUUUUAGAUAUUGAAAUUAUUUUAAUAUCUAUAUAUUAUUAUAUUUAUUUUAAUAUCCUAUUUAUAUUUAUCAUAAAUUAUUAGAGUUAAUUUUUUUAGUUAAUAAAUUUAAAAAUAUUAUAAUUUAAAAAAAGUCUUAUUGGCCGUUAUUCACGAUAUAAGGUUCUAAUAAAUUAUUUCUCUAGACAGGUGCCAUUUUCUUAUUUUCAAAAGGAAAAACAAGUUCAGGGCCUCGGGGGUUUCAAAAAAUUCUGGUCCUAUCUAUCACUAUGACUAAUGGGAAACGGCAUUGCAAUUGACAUUGCUUUUCGCAAUAUGACAUAUUAUGGAGGGAUAUGGGAGAAUUGUCAAACAUUCACACCACGCGAGAGCUUUAGGUGGGAUAGGGGAGGAUUGUCAAGAGUUCACACCACAAGAAACUAAUGAUAGGUCUAAUUUCGUUGUCAGUUCUUUAUUUAUUUAUUUUUUUUAUUUCAUACAUUAUUGUUCUUGUAAAGGUAUAAAAGUAAAGUAAAAUACUAGGGGUGCUGUUAAGUUACAACUGAUGUAACUUGUAAUUUUUUCAAAAAUAAUGUAAAAAAUUUAAUAGGUGGUGGGACUCACAUAUUUUUUAAGAGACUUAAGUUAUAGUAGUUGUAACUUAACAAAAUCUAAAUAUUAUACAAUAAUGCAUAUUAAUAAUGCAUAUAAUUUGGGUUUGAUUUUUAAAAGAUUAUUUGAGUACCACCUAUCCUUAUGAUAUUAAUGUGAUUAUAUCUUAAUAUUAAAUAAUCAAAAUUUGUUUAAUUAUUAUUUGUAUUUCAUACAUUACAUAUUAGAUUUGUUUGAAUUUUAAGUUGUUGCUAAUAAAUAUUUAUGUUGUCAAAGUCAAAUUCAAUAGCUACAAAAGCAGAGAUAAUGGUAUUGUAUAUAGUUUUUAAGAAUGCAAGGAUAAGCUGGAUAAUUGACAUAAAUUCUAAUGAUUAAAAGAGCAACUAUCCCUUAAAUUAUAAUGUUAAUUUCUUUAAUUAGAUUUUUUUUUUCAUGUGAUAUAACCACAAUUGCUACAAUUUUUUUUUAUAAUAAUAAUGGGAGUUAUAAAUUAUUUAUAUAAAAUUUGGGUUGAAACUAAUGUACCAUAAAAGUGGUUGCUGAAUAACAAUAUUUGAAACUUUAGGUAAUUUUCAUGAGUCCUUUUUAUAUUCAGCAACCUGAAUUGGGGAAAAUCCGACUUGAAUUGGCGGUUGAUUUUGGUGAUGUGGCUUUUGGUUUAUGGCGGCUUUACUGUGGCGGAAGACUGGAUUUACGGUUGCCGACUGCUAGGGAUUAUGGUGGUGGUGUAAAUUGACGGAAAAAGAAGGUGUUUUGGUGGCGGCGCGUGUAGGAAGCACUCGUGGGUUGUCGUUUCGUGUGGUGACAGAGGGCGGCGAUCAAGGGCCGAAGUCGGUCAGUUUUUGGUCAACGAAGGCCGGCGAGUUUGUUGGUGGAGGUGGCUGGUGGAGAAAGUGGCUGAAUGGUGGUGGGUUGCUUGGUGGAGCCGCAGGUUUGGGUUGGUGAUUUGCGGCUGUUCAAGCGGCGGUUGAGGCAGCGAUGACUGAGGCUUGGUCGACGGUGGCUAGUGAGGUUUGUGGUGGUGUUGGCUGGCUGAUUGGCGGUGGUGGGCGGCGGUGGGGGUUGGUCUGACGGGUAGGGUUUUCAAAUUUGUAAUUUUUUUUUUUGAUGGAUUUGGUUUGGAUGGGUAUGGUGUAUCUAGGAAAGAUGUGUGAUUCGCACAGAAUUGCUUUGAUACCAAUUGAUGGAGCGAGCGUAGCGGAAGUGGAAUUGAUAAGGUAAGAAAUACUAAAUAUCAUUCUAGUACUGGAUCAAGCCAACACAAUUAACUUACGCUUUAAUCAAAGCGUGAUUAGAUAUUGUUUUAAUCUAAAUGAUUCAAUGAGAUUUUUAAUAACGCGUAAUACGAGAUUAGAUGACACUCUAAUUUAAAUAACUCUAUAAGAGAGAUUUUGAUAAAUAAUACUAGAGGAAAUUAUAAAAAAAAGAGUUUUAUUUAAUAAUUGAAUUUGAAGUCCUGAAAACAAUGACAAGACAUCUUUAUUUUUUUUAUUACAGACAUCUUUAUUUAUAAUAAAAGAAAUCCACUUUCCUAAGUUAACCUAAAAAGAAAAUUUAAAUUAUAAUUAUAAUGGAAAUAAAAGAUUAAGAUACAUACCAUAAUUGACUCAAACAAAAAUAGAAAACCAUAAAAUAAUAAAUAUUUUAGAAUUAUAAAUUAUCUAAAAUAACGUUAAUUAACUUCCUAAAUCACGUCUUUGGUGUAAACCAUUUUGCAUCCAACCUUGCUUUAAAGGUUUGAACCAACGUUACGAACAACAAUGUAUCAAAUUCCAAUCUAACUUAAGAUCCUGAUACAUCUACCGAUGUCCUUGUUUGAUUAGACAAUAAUGAGUCUAUCUCAUCACUUGUUACCUCUUUUUUGAAGCUGCAUCUGUUGAAGUGAUAGCCUCGCUUAGAGUUUAAAGAUCUUCUUCCAUGUUAAAUAAAGUGGGCAUUUGAUUAAAAAACUUUAUCUCUAUCUCCUUCUAUCAAAUAACGAAAACUAUCCAAAGGAAAAAAAAAAAAUUAGAAAAGUCCAUGGGUUGCAAUAAUUUAUGGUCUGUCCUCGGACCCCAUUAUCUGCCAAUAUCAAUGAUGAAAAUGAAAAUAAAUGGCAUCUUCCCAAAAUGGCGAAAGAUUUUUAGGAGAUAUGGGGAAUUGUCAAAAGUUCCCACAACGCGAAAUAAGUGUUACAUCCAAUUUUAUUUCAUCAUAUAAUGAUAAUAUCAAGUAAUGACAGCCAUCUAAAAGUAUAAUGGGUCUUCCAAAAUUUUGAAAAUGUCGUCAACAUUUAAUCUUCAAUGCUAAAGAAGAUGAAAUGCCCAAAAAUGACAUGCAGGACCCACUCACAGACUAAACGGCCCUGACCACAUGCAACAAACUUUGACUUUAUGUCCCUGCUGAGGCGUUAGACUGUUGGUCAUUUUGAUUGCUUUUUACAUUCCAUUUACGCCAUUGUAGCAUUGUACUAUUUACCAUUUUAGCUGUUUAAAUGAAUUUUUUUUUCCAAAAAUAAAAUGACACCCUUAAAAUUUUAGAAAAUAAUCAUGUAGACCCCAAAAUUUUAAUAAAGAACACCAAUACCCUUUUUGACUAUAGUACUCUUAUGGUAGCCACAAAAAAAAAAUGACUUCAAAAUUUUUUACUAAAUGUAUAUAUGAUUUAAAUAGUUUAAAUUUUCUAGUAGACUAGUAUGUAUAAUUUAAAUAAUUAAUUUUUAAAAUGUAAUUUAAUAUAUUUAUUUUAAUAAUAUAUUUAUUAUAAAAAUUUUAAACAAAUCCUUGGGUUAAAUGGAUUUUAUAAUUAAUAUAAUAUUUCUCAUGUUUUAAUAAUAUUAAAAUUAUUUUAUAUGAUAUUGAAAAUAAUUAAAAAUUUUAUAUAUUUAUUUGAAUAUUAUGUCUCUAUUUAUUAUAAUUUGGUUUAAUAGAAUACGAGAUUGUAAAAUAUUAAAAUAUUUUUAGGUAUUGAAAUUAUUUUAAUAUGUACAUAUUAUUAUAUUUAUUUUAAUAUCCUACUUAUAUUUAUUAUAAAAUAUUAAAAUUAAUUUUUUUAGUUAAUAAAUUUAAAAAAUAUUAUAAUUAAAAAAAAGAGUCUUAUUGUCUGUUAUUCACGAUAUAAGGUUCUACAAAAUUAUUUUCAAAAGGAAAAAUAAGUCUAGGGGUUUCAAUAAAUUCUAGUCCUAUUUGCCACUAUGACUAAUGAAAACGACAUUGCAAUUGACAUUACUUUUCGCAAUAUGACAAAUUUUUGGAGGGAUAUGGGAGAAUCGUCAAAUGUUCACACUACGCGGGAGUUUUGGAUGGGAUUGGGGAGGAUUGUCAAGAGUUCACACCACAAGAAACCAAUGAUAGCCAUAAUUUUGCUAUCAGAUCUUUGUUUAUUUAUUUUAUUUAUUUCAUACAUUGUUGUCUUGUUGGCAUUGUUUUGCAAAGAUAUAAAAGUAAAAUAAACUAUUAGGGUGCUGCUAAGUUAAGCUGUUGUAACUUACAAUCCCUUAAAAAAUAAUGUAAAAAAUUUAACACGUGGUGGGAUCGACAUAUGUUUGAAGAGGCUUUAAGUUACAGUAGUUGUGACAUAGCAAAAUCCAAUUAUUAGACAAUAACGCACAUUAACAAUGCAUAUAAUUUGGGUUUGAUUUUUUGAAAAAUUAUUUGAGUAUUAACUAUCCUUAAGAUAUUAAUGUGAAUAUAAUUUAAUAUUAAAUAAUCAAAAUCUGUAUAAUUAUAAUAUAUAGUUCAUACAUUGCAUGUUUAAUCAAAAUCUGAUUGCUUUUUACCUUCCAUUUACGCCCACUGUAGCAUUGUACUAUUCACCAUUUUAGCUGUUUAAAUGAAAUUUUUUUUUUUUCAAAAAUAAAAUGACACCCUUAAAAUUUUAGAAAAUAGUCAUGUAGACCCCAAAAUUUUAAUAAAGAACACCAAUACCCUUUUUGACUAUAGUACUCUUAUGGUAUUCACAAAAAAAAAAAAUGACUUCAAAAUUUUUUACUAAAUGUAAAUAUGAUUUAAAUAGUUUAAAUUUUCUAGUAGACUAGUAUGUAUAAUUUAAAUACUUAAUUUUUAAAAUGUAAUUUAAUAUAUUUAUUUUAAUAAUAUAUUUAUUAUAAAAAUUUUAAACAAAUCCUUGGGUUAAAUAGUUUUUAUAAUUAAUAUAAUAUUUCUCAUGUUUUAAUAAUAUUAAAGUUAUUUUAUAUGAUAUUGAAAAUAAUUUAAAAUUUUAUAUAUUUAUUUUAAUAUUAUGUCUCUAUUUAUUAUAAUUUGGUUUAAUAGAAUACGAGAUUGUAAACUAUUAAAUAUUUUUUGGUAUUGAAAUUAUUUUAAUAUGUAUAUAUUAUUAUAUUUAUUUUAAUAUCCUACUUAUAUUUAUUAUAAAAUAUUAAAAUUAAUUUUUUUAGUUAAUAAUUUUAAAAAAAUAUUAUAGUUAAAAAAAAGAGUCUCAUUGUCCGUUAUUCACGAUAUGAGAUUCUACAAAAUUAUUUUCAAAAGGAAAAAUAAGUCCAAGGGUUUCAACAAAUUCUAGUCCUAUCUGCCACUAUGACUAAUGGAGACGAUAUUGAAUUGACAUUGUUUUUCGCAAUAUGACAAAUUUUUGGAGGGAUAUGGGAGAAUCGUCAAGCGUUCACACCAUGCGAGAGCUUUAGGUGGGAUAUGGGAGAAUUGUCAAGAGUUCACACCAAGAGAAAUUAAUGAUAGGCCUAAUUUCGUUGUCAGUUCUUUAUUUAUUUAUUUUAUUUAUUUCAUACAUUAUUGUCUUGUUGGUAUUGUUUUGUAAAGAUAUAAAAGUACAAGUAAAAUAUUAGGGGAAGUAAAGUAAAAUAUUGGAGGUGCUGCUAAUUUACAGCUGCUGUAACUUACAGUUCCUUCAAAAAUAAUGUAAAAAAUUUAACACGUGGUGGGACCCACAUUAUGUUUGAAGAGGCCGUACAUUAUAGCAGUUGUAAAUUAGUAAAAUCCAAAUAUUAGACAAUAAUACACAUUAACAAUGCAUAUAAUUUGGGUUUGAUUUUUUAAAAAAUUAUGUGAGUAUUACCUAUCCUUAAGAUAUUAAUGAGAAUAUAUUUUAAUAAUAAAUAAUCAAAAUCUGUUUAAUCAUAAUAUGUAAUUGAUACAUUGCAUGUUAGAUUUGUUUGGAUUUUAAGUUGUUGCUAAUAAAUAUUUAUGUUGUGAAAGUCGAAUUCAAUAGCUACAAAAGCAGAGAUAACGGUAUUUUAUGUAGUUUUUAAGAAUACAAGGAUAAGACCAUAACGCAUGAGAUAAUGGUAUUUUAUAUAUAUUAAAAGACCAUAACACAUGUAUUUGAGCCAUUGAUAUUGAAGACACAUAUAGAGGAAAGAGUGCAGAUCCGGCCCUCAGUAUUGUGAAGCUUUCCUCAAGUAUUCUCAUGCACACAGACCUUAUCUGGUCAAGUUUUCUGAUUCAAUAUAAUCAAUUUCCGCGCAGUACUGACGACAGCUUCUCUGUAAAGCUCUUCAACCACAAGCAUUUCUACAAGGCAAAAGACUAGGACGUGUCAGAAUGAAUAUCAAUAAGGGAAUGUCUUAUGAAUUUAGUUUAUAUCCUAAUAUAAGACAAUCAGUAAAUAUUGGACUCAUUAGUUGCCCUUGCCUCAGACGUUUGGAUGCUAAGGGGAAAAAGGAAGUUUGAAUUAGUCAAUCUCAUUUCUAAUGGCAUUCACAGAGAACUUAUAAAACAAAAAAAUUAUAAAAAAAAAUUCAUCCAUAAAAAGCUUAGUAACGGAAAAACCGACUCUUUUAUCUGCCACUGACGAAAAAAAAACUGAAGUAUCAAAUAGAUAAAGAUUUUAAUUUUUUUCUUGGAAAAACUAAUAAUAAAUUAACAAUUGGAUAAUACUAUUAAUUAGAGAUCUUUAAUAUUAAGGUUAUCAAAGAUAGAAUGUGUAUAAAAAUUCUUAAUUAUAAGAUAAUUACUAACUAAAAAGAGGCCUAAAAAAGAAGAUUUGCUAUUAUAAGUAAUACCAAAAAUAAAAAAGGGAGACUUCCUAAUUGUUUAAUUGUUAAAAAAGAGGAUUUGCUAUUAUAGGCCUAAUUUGCCUAUAAGUAAUACCAAAAAUAAAACCGUUCCUGGAUGUAAAAAAUAAAAAUUAUUGUUAAAUUCCUGACUAAUAAGGUCAUUGAAAGUAUUCAAAGGACCUGAACUUAUAGGAAAGCCAGCCAUGAUGAACUAUACCACGUUGCAAGUGAGCUCGUAUCUUCAUCCCUUGAUCUGCCAUCGGCAUUUCUGUUCCACUCACUAUACCAUCCUUUUCAAUCGAUUUUUAUUGAUCAUAAGAGGCCAUGUGGCCCACCUUAUUUUUAUUUUGGAUCCAUAACCCAAAGCUGGCCCAAGUUCUGAUUCCAGAAUCAUUUGUCUACAAAGUGACCUCAUUCCGGCAAUUGGUUUAUGCUAAUAGCACGUGCAAUUUUCAUUUUCUUCUUUUUAUUAAUUAAUUUCAUCAUUAUUAUUUGCUUAUUAUUUUAAAUUAAUUAAUUAAAUUGUAUUAUUGAAAUUAGUCUUUCUUUUUUCUUUUCUCUUUCAAUGCACAAAGCCAAACAACCAUUCUUGCUUCAAAUACCGAAGAGCUCCUGACUACGGCUGUCAAUGCUUCUAUAUUUACGUGCUGUGCUGCAUCACUCUUAGCGAAAGCUUGAAUGAAUGAUUAAAGACAAAAGCUUAUAUAAAAGCAGAUGCCGGAGGCACUCAAAAAGCAUUUGAGAGAGAAGCUACACAGCAAAUCAUCAAACGUACUUCAAUGACUUUGAUUUUGAUUCUUUUUUUUUUCAAAAGAAGUAGAAAAGUCCAUGGAUCACGAUAACUGCUUGUCCUAUGCCGUGACCUCAUUGUCCGCUGCUAGUGUCAAAUAGAUUAAUCUUUCUAGUAGAUUAAUAUAAUUUAUAAUUUUAAUUUCAGUAUUAAUUUUUAAAAUGUUAGUUGUUAUAUUUAUUUUAAUAAUAUAUCUAUUUUUAGUAUAAAACUUUAAAUAUAUAUUUAGAUUAAAUAGAUUUAUAAUUAAUAUAAUAUAUCUCAUGUAUUAAUGAUAUUUAAAUUAUUUUAAAUAAUAUUAAGCCUAACUUAAAAUUUUAUAUAUUUAUUUUAAUAUUAUGUUUCUAUUUAUUAUAAAAUUUAGUUUAAUAUAAUAUAAGAUUGUAAAGUAUUCAAAUAUUUUUUAAAUAUUGAAAUUAUUAUAAAAUGUAUAUAUUGUUACAUUUUUAAUAUUGAAGUCAAUCUUUUUUAAGUUAAUAGAGUGAAAAGAUAUUAUAAUAAAAGGCUACGUAAUCUUUCACUUGCACAUAUUCUGUACUCUCUGGAGCAGGACGGUAGGAAAUAUGAUUACAAAUGUUAAAUUCGCCUUUCUUCACAAGUUUAUCAGCUUCGUUUGCGGCCUCUGCUGCUUGUUUACCAAGCUUGUAACAAGAAAUCAAAUUUGGGCACAACCUUUUGAAGCAGAACAUCUUAGCUCUAUCUUUAUCAUCAAUGAUUGAUUUUGCAACCCCUUCACUGAAUUCAGCAACUCUAUUUAGCCAGUCUCUGACACCCUUAUAAAUCUCAUCUCCUUGUAGAGUAGCCUCUCUAACCAGCAUUUGCACCCUUUCUCUUAUAUAUUCCAGCUCCUUCACUCAAUCUUUUAGCCCAUCUAUGUAGCUCUGGUACUCGGAACACAUAAGAUAUGUGCCACAUAAUCGGUUUGAAUAAUGCUUUUGAACCUUGUGAUACAAUGCUAGAAAAAGUAGGGAGACACCCUUCUGCAGCCAUUGCCUGUUGCUUAACAAUCUAUAUAAAUAAAUACAAGUGUCAAAGAAAGGAAUACAGAUAAAUUAAAAUGAACUAGUGGGAAAGACAGAGAAUGAAAAGACUGCAAACAAUAUUGCGAUAUUGAUCUUGAACUAACUAAUAAUUAAAUAGAGAAUUUCUUUUUCUUUCUUGAGGAUCAGAGAUUUUGCUAUUAACAAAAAGGUACUUCGAGGGUCUGAAUAAAAAACCAACCAUAAAUUAUCAAAAGCUAGUAAAAACACAGACGUAAAUAAUGAACAAUUACUUAAGCAAAACAGACCAUGAUACAAAGCAAAUCUAAUAAAAUGACAAAAAAAGAAAGAAAGAAAGAAAGAAAGAAAAUACAACAAAUAAUAUUGAAGUGUUGAUUAUGAGCCAACUGAUAUUUAAACAGAUUUUUUUAAAAUUUUUAGUCUUUUGCUAAAGGAUUAGAGUUUUUGUUAUUAAUAGAAAGGUUUUAAAGACCUGACAUUACUAGAAAAAUACUAAAUAAUGACAGAAAUUUUAUAACAUAUAUCGUUAUGUCACGAAUGUGUCAUGAAAAUAUGAUAGAUUCGUGAUAUAUAUUCAUGUCCAGAGUAUAUGACAUAUUCAUGACUUAUAACUUAACCAUCGUAAAUAAAUGAUACAUAUAAGUCAUGCUUAAGUUUUGUGAACUUAUAAGAUUGUAAAACAAUGCCGUUUAAAUUAACGACACCGUUUUGUAUAACUUAAAACCCAUUAACACUCGCAGCCAAAUUUUGGCUAAGCGUUGAAUUAAUCCCUCUCUCCACUGUAGAGAUGGCAGAAAAGCCCGCUCAGACCGGAUCCGGACUGGACCCGGUGCAUACGGUCCGGGUAAAACCCGGAUCGGAUGCAUGGAAAAAGCGGAUCCGGGCACGGGUCCGGUCACAGCACCAAGAAUCUGGAACCCGGACCCGUGCCCACUUUUUUAUUAAGUAAAAAAAAAAUAUAUAUAUAUAUAUAUAUAUAGUAGUUUUCCAAUCAGGGAUUAGUUAAAAGACAAAAUAAACACAUACUCCAAUGCAUUGUAUUUUAUCAUGUAGUGUAGUAAAAUUUAAAUUUUUUUGUCUUUUAGCUAAUCCAACUACUAUAUAUAUAUAUAUAACAACAAAAAUGCAUUUUGCUUUACCCAAUUUCCCCCAAACCCAACCGGCCAACCCUAAAUCGCAACAAGUCUCAGAAUCGCCACCUCCCUCCGUUUCUCCACCAACAACCACCACCCAUCUUCACCGAUGCAGUGUUGACGGCGCGGCCUCUUCCCCACUUACAGAAAAAUGCGCAUGCUUUUACCGAGAAAAGAAAGCUUUUAUUUUUUGUAUGACAUCUGGUCCUCCCAUCAAGCUUACCUGAGGCAGCGAGGCUGAAAGUCUCUGUUAUCAACCAUCAGGACACCAGAAAGAGUAAUUGCUCACAUCGUAAGCGCCAUGAACUAAUUUUUCCGAAAAGGAGGAAAUGAAGGUCACAAUGGAGCUCAUUUCCCGCGAUUCGAGAGCCCUACAGAGAGGUAGGACCCCUAACUCACUCCGUUUUAGUCACCUUUCAAUGGCUCCCUUAAUUUCCUAAAUCAAUAAGUGUUCUAAAAGGGCUUGAAAAAUCAAAAUGAUGCCCAACAUUAGUGCCAGGAUUAAGGAACUUUUCACUGCAAAGAAGUGAAUAGCUACGUGGAUGAAGUUAUGGGCCAUGCAGAAAUUCACACUUCACUCUCUCUUGAUUUGUACUCAAAAGUCGCCACCAACCUUCAAUUAUAUGGACUCAUGGAUUCAAUAUUUAGGCUUACAAUUGGACCUUCACAAAGCAAUUGGAGCACUCCAAGCUGCAAAAAAUGUCUCUUCUCUGUGACAUCUGCAGGUGGGCUAGAAGAAGGUUAUGCAUAGAUGGUCUAUGUGCGUGUGCUUACUAAAUGCAUACAAAAUGUAUAAGAACUGAGAUUCCUAUGUUUUUUCCUUUUUAAUUUUAAUAAUUAUGUUAGAUGUUUGCUUGGUAGUUAAGAUGUUUUGGUUUUGGACUGUUACGCUUUGUUAGAACUUAAAAGUAAACAAUUGUUUAGGCUGUAUUUUUUUUUACAGUGUUUUCACCUUUGAAAAUCCGGGUAGAGAAAACCCGGAAAAACCCGUGCCCGGAUAGUGCCGGGCAUGUACCCGGCCUGUAUAAAAAAAAUUCCGGACACGGUGCGGGUUCGGGUAGUUACGUGUGACAUCCGGGUCGGUCCCGGGCAGCCUCAAACCCAGACCCGACCCGGACUUUUGCCAUCUCUACUCCACUGGCCACUGCAACCUAAAAUAGUUUUUCACUUUAAUAACCCAAAAGCUUUCCUCUGUUUCAACUAAGCGAAAAUUUACAUAUUAAAGCCUGGCUCAAAUUCCUUUUUUCAAUCGAAAUUAAACGUAGCCACAAAACCCUAAUUCACCACACCAAUUUAUCUCUGCCCGGUAUUCAUUUAAACCCUACCUCGCGGUUCAAUGUCAUUCAAUACGAUUGCAGAUGCUGUUUCAACUUGUCAUUUAGUUAGCGCCAUCCAGUUCUCUAUGGUAAGCCUUAACCCUAACAACUAAUCGACUGCGGUAGCACGUUGCUUGUUAGGAGUGGGGAUACAUUAUUUGAAUAUAUGAAUUGGGUGAUGUUAGUGAUUCAUUCCCCUAUUUGUCGUGAAUUGAGAUUUGUGCAUAAUGCUAGUAAGAUUGCUAAAAAUUUCAUAUUUUGUAUUGUUCCAGUUGAAUUUCUUGCUUGUGGAAGAUAAAACAAAAGUUCAAUUUCAUGUUGAUUUAAUUCUUCUUUUCCUUCUUUUUAUUUUUCUUCUUUAUAGUCACGCUCUGGCUUUGGUGCUAUGCUUAGUGCAGUUUAUGGUUUCAAGAUUAAGUCAUGUUUAUUUGAUGGCAUCGAUUCCAUCGUUGAGGAUUGGAUUGUUGAUCAAAUGCACAUAGUAAGCUCUUCUUAUUUUAUCUCAAUUUUAAUUUUCUUUUAUUAUCUGCCUCUACCUGAAAAUGGACGUGUUUUACUAGUAAGCAUAGACCUUGUUUAUUUAAUUGAUAUUUUAAUUUUAUGUAUAAGAAUGGAGGUUUAUUUUGGAAAAAAAAAGAAAUAAAAAAAAUACUCUGUUGAAGCUAAUUAGUACUGAAUUUUUUUUGGUGGUGCGACCAGAGGUGGAAACAGGGUAUGAAAAUGUGUUACUGGUGAGGCUGCUGCUUAAGAUGAGAAUGCAUUCUUUUCAAAAAUCCUUGGAAGGUGUGAUCUAAUUAUAUUUGAUGGAAUAUUAAAUGGCUAAAAAUCUGUCAUACGUUCAAACUUUGUUUGUGUUUAGAAGAAUGGUGUUGACUGUAUAUUCGUUUGGAAGAAUGGUGUUGAUUGUAUAUUCAUUUGCUUAGCCUUUUGACAGAUGGAUUUGGAACUGACGAUAAAUGUGAUUCAAUUUACAAGGUUUUCGAGGGGCUCACAGUGGAAGGGAUAUUGAAGAACUGGUCGAAGUUAAAGCCUAUGAUUGUGAAAGAUUGGAGUGAGAAUAUAGAUGCUCAUUUAAAUCUUUUUGGCAAGGUCAGAGAUGAAUGGAUAGAUAAGGAUUUAUUUGACAACUUGGACUGGUGCUAAUAGGUAUUUUAAGCAAGCUUUUUGAGAUAACACUGAGCAAGUUAUACUACUAUUUUGCACAUGAUGAUCAAAACUCUCGAAAAGUAAAUAAAAUAAAGUAUUAACUUUUACUUUCAUCUUUUGCAUAGCAAUCAAUGUGGUGCUUGUUCUGUGACAACUUUGAUAAUCUACUUAAUUACUGGUUAGCAUUUGGACCAAAAAAGUUCUUAUGAUUUACAUGUUUUGUAGAAAUGCAUGAACCUUAAAUGUGCUGAUCAGGGAGUUUAAUUAUUGCACCUUGAAAUUCAUUUACUGUUAACUAAUUGGCUUUCCUUUGCAUAAAGCCGCUUAUAAGGCUUGAGUGGACGUCUUUAUGGGCAUAUUUUUUGUAUUUCUCGAUGCAUGCCUUUAUCAUUUAAUGUGGUGCUCGUAUUUCUUUAUGCAUGCCUUUAUCAUUUAAUGGCCAGCUCCCUUUCCUCUUUUGUAAUUUGAAUAGUAGUAUGGGCCUCCAUUUUACAAAUCUUUAACAUUUUUUGCUGUAAAUUAAUUUUUCUUUCAAAUAUUUUGGAGGUCAUUGGAAUUCCUGUAGGUCUAUUUACCAGAUUUUAGUAUGUUUAAGGUUAUAAUUUUGCUUAGACUUUAAUUUUUCUGAAAGAUUGUAGUAUUGAUCCUUAAAGUAAGAUCAUGCUACUUCAAAUUAUUUUGAAGUGUUGCUAGUUAUAGCCUUACAUAUCAAAUUCCAGUUGUCUGGAAAUUUAUUGAUAGCUGUUACAGCAGCAUAUUUUAUGACUCUACUUCUUAGUUAUGUAAGUUCAUUAUGUUUAGGUCAGAGGCAGUCAGCUGUGGGGAAUCGAUUUAUACACAGAUGACUUUGAUCUUGUUGCUGGUAUGUGGUUCUAUGAAUAAUUGUUCACAAUAAUUGUGUUUGCCUCACUGUUUUUGUUUUAUGAGAUCUAUAAUUGAUCUUGGGAUAUUACUUUUUAGUUCUCAUGCAGGCAAGUUACUACCUUCCCACUGCAUCUCCUCCUUUAUCUGCUACUCAAGAGUUGCGUGCCAUAAUCUGGUAUUACCUCUGCAAGAUUGUGAAUGAAUAUGAUGCCUCUAAAUUUAUUUUAUACAUAAUGCUAAUGCUGAAUAAUAUAUUGUAGCUCCUGUCAUAUUCUACUUUGACUUUUUAUAUUCCGUUUCAAAUAAAAAUCUUAUUCAACUUUAGUUGUUCAUGAGCAAAUGUCACAUGUAUAAGCCCAAAUGAUGUUUAAAGGUAGCGCCGCUACCUUCAGUUUGAGCUUACAAUGGGUGAAAAAGAAAUUGAAACUGAUAUUUUGCGGUUUUUCUUAUUUUUCAAAGUAUUUUAGAUCAUGACUUUUGUUUGGACUUGAUGGUUAUAGAUUGUGUCUAGAUUUGUUAAGUCGUUUCCAACACCUCGUGCCAAAUCAAAGCACAAUCUUUCUGAUUCAGAUGUUUUGUUAAUUGUGCUUCAUUUUUUCGUUAAAGGUUGGAUGGUUGAAUGGAUUGAUGGAGUUGGAGUUCAACCAAUAAUUCUAAUUUUUUGGACUUAAAAUGCCUUUUUCUUCUGUAUAAAAGCUUUAGUAAGUGCUAUUGAGUUGACAGAAGUUGAAUACUUACAGGUUGUUUCACACUUUUUAAUAGUUUUACAUAUAUGAAUUUCUGUUUUUUGAAUUGCAGAAAGGAGGUGGAACUAUUGAUUUGGAGCCUUAUCUUACUCACUCAUCAACAACGGAGCCUACCCUCGCUCCUAUGGCAGUGGAACGGACAAUGACUACUAGGGCUGCAACAUCAGUUGGUUCGGGUCUGUUUUGAUAGCGAAUUUUGAUAUGUCAAUAUAAUGUGUAAUUGUUUUGGGUUGAGCUGGUAAUUAUGCUGGAUUAGAUUGGUUUGGUUUUGGUGCUUCGCUGAUGGAACACUGGUUUUUUAGAAAAUUUGAAUGUAAUAUGAGACUACAUUUAGUUUAAUUGAACACUGCAUCUAGUCUAAUUACUAGAAGUGUGGCAUUUGGUUUGGUUUAUCCGAUAUUCUCCAGAAUUUCACUUGCAUCUGGUUUUGUUGCAUAUGUUUGCUUGCAUUUGAUGGCAGUAGCAGACUGUUUGGUUUUGUGGCAUUUGAUGGCAGUUUGGUCUGUUCUUGGUGCUGAUUUACGAUUGUUCCUGAUGUGUUGAUGUUAAUUGCAGGUGCUUGAAUCAGCUAGGGUUGCUGGUUUUUUCAGAUGGUUGACUCAGGCGUUGUUACUGGUUGAUUCAGGUGGCUGGCUCAAGUUGUUCAUUUAAUGUUAGGAAGCAAAUUAAGAAUUAAUGAAGUAUUCAUUUAACUAUAAUUAUUGUAGUUAUUUUAUUUCAUAACUGAAUUAUAAUCUAUGAUACUUGUGAACAAAUUAGAGAAUUUUUAUAUAUAAAUUAUAUAUAUGUGUGUGUAUGUACAUUUUGCUUUUUAUAUAAUAAUUUAAAGAAUAUAUUUCAAUUCCCACAAAAAAAUGGCCCCAAUUUCAAUAAUUCCUGCCAAAUAAUUAAUUUUUUUUAAUUUACCGCCAAAAUAUAUCUUAAAGAAAUGUUAGUUAUUCUUGCUAGAUUUAACAAAAAUAAUUUAUAGGAUUAACAUUUAAUUAAAAUAAUUAAAUAAUUUUACUAUUUCAAUUAAAUGUCAUGUUUAUAUCACAGACAAUAGUCAUGAAUGGGAAGUAUUAGUUACAUAUUUUUCCUUGUAGUUAUUUUAUUUCAUAACUGAAUUAUAAUCUAUGAUACUUGUGAACAAAUUAGAGAAUUUUUAUAUAUAAAUUAUAUAUAUGUGUGUGUAUGUACAUUUUGCUUUUUAUAUAAUAAUUUAAAGAAUAUAUUUCAAUUCCCACAAAAAAAUGGCCCCAAUUUCAAUAAUUCCCGCCAAAUAAUUAAUUUUUUUUAAUUUACCACCAAAAUAUAUCUUAAAGAAAUGUUAGUUAUUCUUGCUAGAUUUAACAAAAAUAAUUUAUAGGAUUAACAUUUAAUUAAAAUAAUUAAAUAAUUUUUCUAUUUCAAUUAAAUGUCAUGUUUAUAUGACAGACAAUAGUCAUGAAUGGGAAGUAUUAGUUCCAUAUUUUUCCUUGGGAUUUCAGGCAAAUGAAAAAAAGAUUGAGAAUGAUUUCAAGAGGACAGGUGGAUGAUAAGUAUUCAUUUUUGUAUAUUUGGCUAAUGUCCUCAUUAGUGGAUUUUUAUGGUAUUGAUUUUUUUUUUUUUGGUUUAUAAUUUUCAAUUAGUUGUUACCCUAGAGGAAGAGCAGGCUGAUCAAAUUGAUUUGUCUUAUUUUUCCGGCAAUCUGCGACACGAUGACUGUGAUAAUGCUCGUGACUGCUGGAAACUUUCUGGUGGAAAUAACUUUAGAGUUCGUAGCAAGCAUUUUUGUUAUGACAAAACAAAGGUUCCCCCAUAUUUUGGUUGUUUGUUAUGGUAUUUAUAUAUCCUGCAUAUGCUAGGUCGACAGGUUAUGAUGUAGUUUGGUUGGCUCUUGUGCUUUGUGCAAUUUGUAACUGCAGAUACCUGCGGGAAAACAUUUAAUGGAUCUUGUUGCUGUUGAUUGGUUCAAAGACACAAAGAGAAUGGACCAUGUAGCUCGGCGUCAAGGCUGUACUGCACAAGUAACUGAAGAAAAAUGUGAAUUGGUUCCUCUUUUUCUUACUUUCCAGAACAGUAUGUACAGGGAAUAUAUACAGCAAAAUAGGAGAGAAAAUAGGAGACUACAUCUAUCCUUUCCUAAAUAAUAGGAAACAAAAUCUGGAAAGAAUCCUAAUGAAUCUUCCCAUUAUAAUUUAACUUAUUCCUAAAAUAGCCUAGAUUACAAAUAAAUCAUAACUUUGAAUCUUUAUUUUCAACACUCCCCCUCAAGCUAGUGUGUGUAUAUCAUACAAACCCAGCUUGUUACUUAAGUCUUCAAAGUUAGGUCUUGGCAGUGCUUUAGUAAGGAUGUCUGCAAUUUGUUGUCUAGUUGGAAUGUACUUUAGUUCCACACUUCCACUAGUGACCUUCUUUGAGAUGAAGUGCCUAUCAAUCUCGACAUGUUUGGUUCGAUCAUGAUGCACUGGAUUUUUUGCGAUGCUGAUUGCUGCUUGAUUGUCACACCUCAUUAGAAUGGAUGAAGGGUUGCACACACCGAGUUCUUUGAGUACACGCUUUAUCCAAAUUCCUUCACAGAUUCCAUUUGCCAAAGCUCUGAACUCUGCUUCUGCACUACUCCUAGCUACAACUGAUUGUUUCUUACUCCUCCAGGUUACUAGAUUUCCCCAGACAUAGGAACAGUAAGCAGAUGUUGAUAUUCUAUUUGUGAUGUCUCCAGCCCAGUCUGCAUCAGAGUAGAUCUCAAUAUUCCUAUAUUCUGAUUUCUUGAAAAACAAUCCUUUUCCAGGUGUCAUCUUUAGAUACUUCAAAAUUCUAAAGACUGCAUCCAUGUGUUCCUCUGUAGGAUUGUGCAUGAAUUGGCUCACAGCACUAACAACAAAGCCUAUGUCCGGACGGGUAUGUGAGAGAUAAAUUAAACGACCAACCAGUCUUUGAUAUCUCUCUCUAUUGACUGGAACACUAUUCUCAACUGAGCCUAGUUUCUUGUAGGGAUCCAUAGGAGUAUCUACUGGUUUGCACCCAAUCAUACCAGUCUCCUUUAGUAAGUCCAGGGUGUAUUUCCUUUGGGAGACAACAAUUCCCUUCCUAGAUCUUGCCACCUCCAUCCCAAGAAAAUAUUUCAGAUUCCCUAGAUCUUUAACUUCGAAUUCCUGAGCUAGCUGUUUCUUCAACUUCUGCAGUUCUUCCUCAUCAUUUCCUGAGAGAAUGAUGUCAUCAACAUAUACGAUUAGGAGAGAGAUCUUCUUUGCUUGUGAUGUUCGGAGGAAUAGAGUGUGAUCUGCCUGACACUGAGUGUAACCAAGUCUCACAACUGCCUUCGCAAAUCUAUCAAACCAUGCUCGAGGGGAUUGUUUAAGCCCAUACAAAGAUUUCUUGAGCUUGCACACUUUAUUUCUAGUAAGAUUCAGAUCAAGACCCUGGGGAACUUCCAUAAACACUUCUUCUUCAAGAUCGCCAUUGAGAAAUGCAUUUUUUAUAUCUAGUUGGUAUAAGUACCAAUCUAGAUUUACUGCUAAGGAGAGCAAGAUUCUAAUGGUGUUGAGCUUCGCAACCGGAGCAAAGGUUUCAAGAUAAUCAAUCCCAUAUGACUGUGUGAACCCUUUAGCUACAAGACGAGCUUUGAGCCUCUCAACACUUCCAUCUGCCUUGUAUUUAACAGUAAAAAUCCACUUACAUCCAACUGGUCGUUUCCCUGCAGGAAGAUUUGUUAUAACCCAUGUAUCAUUUUUCUCAAGAGCAUUUAUUUCUUCAUGAACAGCUCUCUUCCACUCAGGAUGACCGAGAGCCUCUUGUAUAUUGUUGGGAACAUGUAGAUUAUCUAAAGAAGAAACAAAGGCUCGGUAUGAUGGGGACAAACCAUCAUAUGAGACAUAUUUGGCAAUUGGAUGAGUGGUGCAACUUCGAACCCCCUUUCUUUCUGCAAUUGAUUUAUUAGAAUCAUCCACACUUGGAACCAUGAACUCAACCGAGGCAAGACUAUCCAUACCUGUGUUGUCUUCAUAAGAGCUUGGAUUUGGUUCAGUUUCUUGGACAUGUGGCUGAGUUCUGUGCUCUAUCUGCUCUCCAGUUCUUCUCCUCCUAUAAACAUUAAGAUUAUCAACAGCAAGCUGUGGAAGAGGUGAGAUUAGAGGUUGUAGUUGAUGAGCUGAUGGAUGACGGGGUGACUCGGCUGGUUGUGGUUGGGAGGACUCAGAUGACUCAAAAGGUUGUGAAGAUGUUGGGAGGAUUGCUGAUUGUGGCUGUUGGAUAGAUUGAUCAUGUGUGGUGGUUGAGUUAUGAGGGUUUUCAUGAGGGGUUUCCAGCCAAGAUUGCCAAGAAGAUUCCCAAGGCUGAUGUUCGCUCAUACUCUCUCCCUGAACAACAGUUUUGGAAUAGAAAGGCAGGUUUUCAACAAAUGUUACAUCUCUGGAAAUGUAUAUUUUUCUGGUAUGAGGAGAAUAGCAUUUGUAUCCUUUUUUAUGUGGAGAAUAGCCUAAAAAUAUACACUUGAGAGAUCGGGGAUCAAGUUUAGUCCUGUGUUGAGAGUGAACAUGGACAUAUGCUGUGCAACCGAAUAUUUUUUGUGGUAAAUCUGCUGAAACAAUCCUAGUGUGUGGAAAGAAAUUGAGAAGAACUUUUCUUGGGCAAUGAAACCCCAAGACUCUAGAAGGCAUUCGGUUGAUUAAGUAGGCUGUAGUGAGAACAGCUUCACCCCAGAAAAAAUUAGGAACAUGAGAUGAGAACAAAAGACAGCGAGCCACUUCAAGAAGGUGUCUGUUUUUGCGUUCAGCGACCCCAUUUUGUUGUGGGGUGUCAACACAAGAACUGAUGUGAAGAAUGCCUUGAUGGAGAAGAUAUGAGCUGAGGGAGUCUUUGAAAUAUUCCUUGGCAUUGUCGGUUUUAAGGACUUGGAUUUUGGUAUUGAAUUGGGUUUGAAUCAUGGCGUUAAAGUUUUGGAAGAUUUGACUAACUUCGGAUUUGUUUUUCAUGAGAAACACCCAAGUGAGACGAGUAUGAUCAUCCACAAAUGACAAAAACCAGCGAGCCCCAGAAACAUUUUUAAUUCUUGAGGGACCCCACACAUCAUUGUGAAUUAAAGCAAAUGGACGAGAAGGCUUAUACUUAACGCUUGAAUAAACAUUUCGAGUAUGUUUUGCAAAUUGACAAAUUUCACAAUGAAAUGAUAAAGGGUUUUUAUUGAUGAAUAGAUUGGGAAAAAUUUUUGCGAGAUACAUGAAACUAGGAUGACCUAAUCGAUAGUGUAACAGAACAAUUUCACUAUCGUUAUUGACAUUUGGACUAACAAUAGAAUGAGGAUAACUAGUUGACAGACUAUUGGACUUGGCACAGUUUGCUCUCGAAUCUUGUAUGAAGGAGGAUUGAUCGCUUUUGAGUAGAUAGAGUCCAGAACAUAGCUCAGCACUGCCAAUCGUCUUCGCGAAUCCAAGUCCUGAAAAACACACAUAUUUGGAUAGAAUUUAGUUACACAAUUCUGAUCACGAGUGAAUUUACUGAUUGAAAGUAAAUUGCAAGCCAAAUUAGGCACAUAAAGUACAGAAUUAAGGUGUAACUCCUUAGUGAGUCUGAUGGAACCUGUCCCUGCUAUAUUGUGUGAGAGCCAUCUGCGAUCCGGACUGAAGUGCUGUUGAUGCUAGCUUUAUAAUCCUGCAACAUUGAGGCAUCUCCAGUCAUGUGAUCAGAAGCACCAGUGUCAAUUAUCCAGGGUUUGCUUGCUCCAUUAGUGGCUGCAAAUGCUGAAUGAGUCUCUUUCUAAGCCACUAGACUUGUCCCUGCAUUGGAGUUCAAAGUGGCUUGAUCGAAAAGCUUUUGAAGAAUCUCCAUUUGCUCCUUGCUGAAUGGAUUUGGCUCGGGUAGGGCCUGAUUGUCCGUGGUGGAUGCUGCAUGAGCACGAGAUUCACGGUCACCUUUGGAACGAGGUUUCCAAUCAGCAGGUUUGCCAUAAAUUUUCCAGCAACUCUCCUUAUAGUGGCCUGCCUUACGACAGUGAUCGCACCAUGGUCUUUCUUUCUUUGUACGAUUUUCACUAACCCCUACAGAGUUGGAUGCACGGGCAACAAGUGCAGAGGCGCCCAGUGUUGGUUCUGAUGACCCCAUCAUCACCUUUUUCCUACUUUCUUCAUGCCUAACUUCAGAAAAGGCUUCACGAGGGCGCGGUAGAGGCUUUGUCCCGAGUACACGGCUCCUAACCUGAUCAAGAUCUUUAUUGAGUCCGAGGAGAAAUUUAAACGUUCUCUUCUGUUCCACAAUCUUCUUGUACAAGGUUGUAUCGUCGGUGCACUUCCAAGGGUAUGUUUCAAAUAGAUCAAGGUGUUGCCAAUGCCUAGUCAGAGUAUUAAAGUAUUGAGUGACAGAUUGUUCUCCUUGGCGGAAGUCAUGGAGGAUGGUUUCAAUCUGGAAUAACUCUGAUGUGUUCUCAGAGCUAGAAUAGGUUUCCUUUGCAGCAUCCCAUAUGUCAUUUGCAGUCCCAAACAGAAGAAAAUUCUCACCAAUAUCAUUGUUCAUGGAAUUGAUAAGCCAUGACAUGAUCAUGUUGUUCUCUGACUNNNNNNNNNNNNNNNNNNNNNNNNNNNNNNNNNNNNNNNNNNNNNNNNNNNNNNNNNNNNNNNNNNNNNNNNNNNNNNNNNNNNNNNNNNNNNNNNNNNNNNNNNNNNNNNNNNNNNNNNNNNNNNNNNNNNNNNNNNNNNNNNNNNNNNNNNNNNNNNNNNNNNNNNNNNNNNNNNNNNNNNNNNNNNNNNNNNNNNNNNNCACGUAACAGAGGUUGAUGAGGAAGCCAUCCCGUAUUUUGCCACAGAGAAUACAACUGAUGGGAGAGGAAGGAAGGUAGAUUGUUCAAUUUAUGAGAGAAGAAGGAAAUGGCGGCUGAUAGGAGAACUAGGGUUUAGAGCCAGGCUCUGAUACCAUGAAGAAAAAUGUGAAUUGGUUCCUCUUUUUCUUACUUUCCAGAACAGUAUGUACAGGGAAUAUAUACAGCAAAAUAGGAGAGAAAAUAGGAGACUACAUCUAUCCUUUCCUAAAUAAUAGGAAACAAAAUCUGGAAAGAAUCCUAAUGAAUCUUCCUAUUAUAAUUUAACUUAUUCCGAAAAUAGCCUAGAUUACAAAUAAAUCAUAACUUUGAAUCUUUAUUUUCAACAGUAACUAUUCUUUUCUUUUUAUUUUUCCUUUUCUGAAAGAAACUUAGUUUUGUAUUGUUUGGCAAGCUAGAAAAUGAAAGAAAAUAAAAGAAAGCGCUGUAAAGAAGUUUGUAGAACCUUUAUUACUCUAGCAUUACAACUGAAUGAAUACAGACUGAUAUUUCUAUUAAGCUACAAUUUUCUCAACACACACACAAGUUUGUUACAUCACAUAACCAUUUGCUGCAUAACUAAUUUGACACAUCAGCUCAACCAGCUAACUAACUUUGCCAGGUCAAGCCUAGUGAGUUGAUCUGCUAAAGUCAGCUACACAGCAACAUCAUGCUCUGCUCCAACUUCAUUCAAUUCACUAACAUCCCCCCUCAAGCUGAAAUGUUUAGGAUGAACAUUCAGCUUGCUUCUUAAGUAACUAAACUGUUUGAGAGUAAGCCUUAGUCAACACAUCUGCUGUUUGAUCUUGACUGGGCACAAAACAUACUUCAAUCUCUUUUGCAGUAACUUUAUCUCGAAUAAAAUGUAUAUCCAAUUCGACAUGCUUAGUUUUAGCAUGAUAGACUGGAUUGUAAGCUAAAGCAAUUGCUUCUUGAUUAUCACACCACAUCAUAGGAGUAGAGCUCAAUUUGAUGUUAAGUUCACCAAGUAAAGAUUGUAUCCAGGGAACCUCUGAAGCAGCAUGAGCAAGAGAUCUAUACUCAGCCUCUGUGCUGGACCUGGAAACAACAACUUGUUUCUUUGAUGACCAUGAGACUAGAUUAGGGCCUAGGUAAACAGCAAAGCCAGCCACUGACUUCUUAUCAUCACGAUCACAAGCCCAAUCAGAAUUUGAAAAACAAUGUAGUUGCAAAGUUCCUUUGUUAUUAAAUUGCAGCCCAAGAUGUAUAGUGCCUUUUAAGUACCUCAAUAACCUUUUGCAUGUUUCCCAAUGUUGUGUUCUAGGACUUGAAAUGAAUUGACUUAGGUUGUUUACAGAGAGAGCAAUGUCAGGUCUGGUAAGAGUAACAUAUUGAAGAGCUCCUAUAACACUCCUAUAUUGAGAAACAUUAUCAAUUAGCUCUCCUGAUUCUUUUGUGAGAUAAUAACCAGUAGACAUUGGAGUAGGCACAGGACUGCAAUCUGUCAUGCCAUGUUUAUCCAGAAUGUCAGUAAUAUACUUUGCUUGUGUCAAGGAAACCCCUUGUGAAGACUUGCUGACUUCAAUCCCCAGAAAAUAGCUAAGUUCCCCCAUGUCUUUUAAAGCAAAGGCUUGAUUCAUAAUCUUAAUAACUUGCUGAAUUAGUGUUGGACUGGAACUAGUGAUGAUAAUAUCAUCAACAUAGACCGAAACAAGAGUUAGAUGACCACUGUUCCAGGCAUGAAACAGAGAGUUAUCAGACCUUGAAUGCUAGAAAUGCCGUUUAGAGAUCAUUGCAUCCUUGAAUCUAUCAAACCAGGCUCUAGGUGCCUGUUUUAAGCCAUACAAAGCUUUAUUCAGCUUGCAGAUAUGAUUAGGUUUAGUUGAGUCAACAAAACCUUCAGGUUGAGCCAUGUACACCUCUUCAAUUAAAAUGCCAUUUAGAAAGGCAUUAUUAACAUCUACUUGCCUAAUCACCCAUUGAUUCAAUACUGCUAAGCUAAGAAUAACUCUAACAGUUGAAGCUUUAACUACUGGACUAAAAGUUUCUGUAUGGUCAAUCCCAUGUGUCUGAUGAAACCCCUUUGCAACAAGCCUGACUUUAUAUCUUGAAACUGAACCAUCUGAGUUAUACUUUAUUCGAAACACCCAUUUGCUGCCAACUAUCUUCACUGGAGUAGCAUGUAAAACUAAAUCCCAGGUGUGAUUAGUUUUAAGUGCUAGAUACUUUUCUUGCAUAGCCUUAUACCACAUAGGAUCAGAAAGUGCUUGGGAAACAGAAGUUGGUUCUGAUUUCUGGGCUAAUAAAGCUGACAAAUAAAUUUUUGGCUUGAAAAUACCUGCUUUUGACCUGGUUAUCAUUGGAUGACCAGUUGAUGCAGGUUGUGGCAAUGUAUGUGGAGGUGAAUUAUGUGGUAGUGAAGAAGAAGAAGCUGAGUUGGAAUUAUCAGAAAAAUAAAGUGGAGUAGAAUUUGGUGAGGGAGUAGGAGCAUCUGAAUGAUGAACAUUUUGAUGGUGUUCUGAUGAUGCUGCUAAAGGUGCUUGUAACUGAGUAAUAGAAGGAACAGAGGAAUUGAAAGAAGACUUAUAAUUUUUUGUUGACUAACAACUUGAAGAGAGUGAAGAAAAAUCUGCUCCAGACUCAUAAGGAAAAGAAUUUUCAUCAAAGGUGACAUGAUUUGAAAUGUAAACCCUCUUAGAAGAGUGAAGACACUGAUAUCCCUUGUGUUGUGAAUUGUAGCCAAUGAAUAUACAUCUGGCAGUUCUGAAAUCAAACUUAUGUCUAUUGUAUGGUCUGAGUGUUGGAUAACAAGCACAACCGAAGGUUUUAAGUGUUGAAUAAUCUGGUUGAUGAUGAAAUAACUUUUGGAAAGGAGAAAUGUUGUUUAGAAUUGGAGUUGGAAGUCUGUUUAUCAAAUAGACAGCUGUGUGGAAUGCAUUCCACCAAAAUUUGAGUGGUAAAUGUGCUUGAGCUAAUAAGGUCAGACCUACAUCAACUAUGUGUCUAUGUUUCCUCUCAAUUCUUCCAUUUUGAUGAUGAAUAUGUGGGCAAGGGUGUCUAAAAUGGAUACCAGAAGCAGUGAGUAAUGAGGAAAAUGUUCUGAACUCUUCUCCCCAAUCAGUUUGGACAGUUUUGAUUUGAAGUUGAAGAUGCUUUUCAAUAAAAAUUUUGAAAUUGGUAAACACUUCAAGAGCAUCAGAUUUGGCUGACAAUGGAAAUAUCCAGGUAAAUCUACUAUAAUCAUCUAAGAUUGAUAAGUAGUAAUUAUAUCCUUGGGUAGAACAGACAUGAGAAGGACCCUGAUGGCUGUCGAAGCCAACAAAAAUAAAUUCCUACUCUAAAUAAAUUGUGUAUAGUGAUUGAGCAGGGUCGUGUCCACAGAGAUCGAUAAUUAUUUAAAUCCUUUUGAAACGUAAAACGUAAAAUGGGGGAAUUGUUGACAAUAAUAAAAAUCAAAUUAAAAAUAACAAGAAUGCAAAUUAAAGUUGUAAUUUAAAUUGGAGAAAGCUCUGGUUGAAGGAAUUAACUCAGCUUGAUUCGACUACUGAUCAUUGAUUCAAAUAUAGAUUAUUAUUACUCAUGAAUAGACCGGUUAUAGCUACUGAGACCCUCUAAUAGCCAAUCUCUCCUUAACUAGUCGAUAACCAAGGUACGACCGUUGGUUAUUUCCCUAAUCAAUAGACAACCCUAGAUACGAUCAUAGAAUUUAAUCAAUUGACAGCCUGAAAAACCAGAGAGACCCAAAUCCUAAUCAACACAUAUGAUGAUUCAUUUAAAUUAGAUUGUUUAUUCUCACAACACAACUCUCUGCUAUGUUAUUAGUCACAAGCAUUAAAUUCUUCAUACGAUGAAUCCUUUAAUUGACAAUAGAUUAAGUUGAUAAUUAAAUAGUGGCCAAUUACCUAAUUAACAAACAUAAUCAUGAAAAUAAUUCAGAGAAUAAACAAAUACCCAAAAAGUAAUAAAACAAUUAAAGCACAAGAAAGAUCUCACAGUAGUGAUGAAUCAAAGCUUCAUUAACCUUCAACCAGAAAAAUGGGUUUAGUUUCUCAUAGAGAGAAGAGAAAAAUUAGAUCUAGGGUUUCUUUUUCUCCAAUCCAAAAUUCCCCCCUUUCACAAUAGAUUCCUCCCUUAAAUACUCUCUCUCUCUUCUCCUCUAGAAUUCUAUUUAAAAUAAAAUACUAAUAUCUGAAAUAUUAAAUUCGUAAUUACAAAAAUAACCAAAAAUACAAAACACGUUAAACUAAAAACUGCAGGUCCGCAGUUGACAGCACGCGCCCACGCCUUAUCAAUAAAGUUCUUCUGCCGCUCAUAAUUUCUCCAAGAGAACAAUCAUCCUUAAAAAUCAUCUUGUAGCUCAAUUUUAUCACCAAUCAAUAGAAUUGCACCUACAAAAGUAAAACACAAGUAAAUCAUUAUUAUUAAGUGCAAAACAUCGAUAUUAAGGGAAGUAAACAAUGCAAAACUAGUGCAUAAAUUGCACUCUAACAAAUUCCCCCACACCAAGAUGAUGCUUGUCCUCAAGCAUAUAACUCAAGAUUAAUCCCAAAUCUCCACUCAAUUCUCAUCUCAACUCAUCCAAAAAUAGAAAUUAAGUCGAUCAACAUUCGAGAGACAAGGAUUUUAAAGCAUAGAAUCUCAUAAGAUAGAAUAAGAACAUUCAACCACCAAGAAGAUCCAUUCAAAAUUCAAGUGCAACAAGAUGUAAUAGCCCUCUCAAUAACUUCACUCCAUGCACUCAAAGUGUUUAGGGUGUCAUUUAUCCACUCAAAUCAAAUCAAAGAAUGCUAUUACCAUAAGCUUGCUCAUAUAUCACAUCUCAAUCCACAAAACAUGAAUAAAAUGCAAAAAUCUAAGGGUCUUAAAAGGAUUGUAAUGGGGUUAAAUGGGUUAAAUGAAAAAGAAAGGUUUACGAAAGAAAAAGAGAUCAAAAUGAGAAGAAUGAACUCAUUGAAUGAACUUAUGAUAUCAAAAUGCUUAUUUCUACUCAAGUCACCAAGAAUGUAAACAUUUUUUUUUUCGAUUUUUCUUUUUCUUUUUUUUUCUUUUUCCUUUUCUUUUUCUUUUUUUUUUUCAUUUUUUCAUUUUUUUUUGUUUUUUGUUUUUUGUUUUUUUCGAAUCAAACAAAAGAAACGAACCUUGCACAAUUUAAUUCAAGCAUAAUGCUUGUUGAUCUAAUUGAGAAACUUCAAUACAAGGUAGAAAAAGCAACAAAAUAUAUCCACACAAUGAGUCCAAAAAUCUCCUUAAAUUGAGGCUCAAAAAGAAGAAAAAUGGUUAAGUAGACGGAGAGAAUUAGAUGGGUAAUGGUUAAGGCUCAAACAAAGGUAGCAAAUAAAGGUCUUCGGGUAGAGAAAAAGGAAAAUGCGAGAAUAGAAAAAUGGUAAAUGGUUUGCCCUUAUCAUUUUAAUGCCUAAAAUCCCGUAAUGUGGCUUCAAUAUGCAUAACAAAGCAAAUUCUAGAAUAAACAAACUAGGAUUGAUAUUCACAUAACAAAAAUAAUUAGAGCAAAGUGGUUGCUCAUAGGCUCAAAUCCUCACAAAGUUGGUAAAUUUGCCAUCAAAUCAUGUACACUCUUCAAAUGAAUCAACCAUCAAUAGUGGUGUAGAAUGAGAAGAAGGUAUGAGUGAUAUAUAAAAGAAAAGGUAAAAAUUAUAAGAAGUGAGAAAGAUGUAUGUAGUAAUAUGAAAAGUGAAAGAUAAAAUGUGAGUGAUGAAAGAGUAUGGUAAAAUAAAAAUAGAUAUGAAUAGUUUGAGAUAGAUGGGAAAAAAGUAGUGAGAAAGAAAAGAAAAGAAAAUUAAUAAUAUAUGAAGCAUACUAACUCCAAAAUCAUUUAAGGAUGAGUAGAGUGAAAAUAGAUGAGUAGAGUGAAAAUAAUAAUUCCAGACAUCAAUAAUGCAAAAAUCCCUCCCCCACACCAAGAACUUACAUUGUCCCCAAUGUAAGAUAAUCAAAGCUCACAUAAAAAUUAAAGCGUAAGGAUAAAAGAUUAAGGGCAAAAAAAAAAACUUCCCUGAAUUGUGAGCUUUGAUCCACAUAACGUCUAUGGGCUUGGCGGAAAUGGUGGGGUAAAUCCCACACUCUCGAAGUAUGCGGCCAAAUUCUGCUCCAUCUUGUUCAGCUUGUGCUCCAUUUUCUCUAACUGAAUACUCAAAGGUGGUGCGGAUGUAGAAGGAAUAGUUGGCGGGGCAGCAGUGUCGUCGUCAAACUCGUCAUCAGAGGUAGCACCACUCCUAGCAUAAAGCUUCUUCGGAAGUUGAGUGGGUCCUGGUUCAGUAAACUGAAAUCUCCCCUCCUUGAAUUCAACCACACCUGUUCUUUCAAACACAGACAUAUCCAAAAAUUCCUUUUUGCAAGCAGGAUGCAAAUCAUUAUUGUCGGGAUCAAGAACACAUAGGUUUAUAGCUAACAGAGUAAUGUAUGGACCAAGAAAUAAAGUCCUAUACCGUUUAAGCACAUUUUGAAAUUGAUCCGCUAACCAAAAACCUAAAUUAGGCCUCACAUCAUUUAACAUGCACCAGAUAAAAUAAAAUUCAGUUUUAGAGAAAAUUCCCGAGUGAUCUUUCUUGCCUAAAAAAUUAUAUGCUAAGAAUCGAUGCACACAUUUCAAAACAGGAUCACGUAAGAAAGAACUCUUUGAUUUACUCGGGUCAUAGGCAUUGUGAUCAACAGAUAAAUUACGCCAAAGACCAUAAGGCUCAAAAUUUUCGCUAAAGUCACAAGUUGUUCCUAAAUAUGCAUCACUAGAAGAAUAAUCAUCAUCAAUGAAUCCUAAAGCUAGGUUAAAAUCCGUGAUAGAGUGUGAAAAAUUUCGUCUCAUUAACCUAAACUUAAUGACAUUCGGGGUAUGCAAAGUAAAAUCAUUCGGCAUAGUAAAUUGAAAAGUAGCAUAAAACUCCCUAAUCAACUCAACAUAACCCAAACAAUCAACAUCAACAAAUUUACGCAACCCAAUCUUAUCUAUCAAAGAAUCAAAAUUAUCCUUAACAUUCAAUUUUUCAAGAGUCGGGUAAUGAAUAUACUUAGCUGGAAGUAUUUUGCAAGUGGAAAUAUCUUUGUACCUCUCUUUCUCUUGUUGAGUCGCGAACGCGAGGCACCCUCCGAGAUUGGAUUCCGCAAGUGGCAAAACACUCAUGCCUUUUCCAUGCUUCGAUCUUUGUCUCACGGCUUUGCGUGAAUCUGAAAUUGUGUUCCAUGGAACCGUAGUGGGAGCGGCAAUCUUAGAUUUCUUUACGACGGGUUUCUUUUUCGAUGACUUGGAAGUAGAUGCUUUCCUCUUCGGCAUUGUUACAAUAAUUGCACUCACGGAUUUCGAUUUACCCGGCUGGAAUACAUGACGUAGGCUGGUUGCGUUGCGUUGCUGCUCGACUGGAGCUUGCUGUGCGGGUUGGAGCUGGUUGCGCACUGCUGGGCUGCGAGACACGGGAUGCUGGUGCUGCGCUCGCGGGGGCUUGCGUUGCGAGCUGGUGAUUCGCGUUGCUGGUUCGUGCUGCGUUGCGGGGCUGCUGGUGGGACUGAUGUUGCGCGUUGCGGCUGGGGCUGGAUCUACGCACUGCUGUGUGAUUCGCGAGAGCCGGUUCGUCUGCGUUGCUGUGCUGCACUGAGGUUGAUUCGCGUUGCUGCUGGUUGCGGUGCGCGAUGCUGCGCCCGGCGGCUGGGGCUGGUGGGGCUUGCUGCUGGAAAACGAUAAUCAACAGUAAUUUUUUUGAAUUAGGGAUUUGUGAACAGUGAUUUUCGAAUUUUUUUUUUUUUUUUUUUUAGUGAUGAAUCACUUUGAGACACUAAAAAUUUCAGAAGUACUUUUUUAAUAAGCACGUGGGCACGCCUUAUCAAAAAUUUUCUUCUGGCCAAAAUAAGCAAACACAUUAUUUUAAAAAAAAAUCUGAAUCAAAAUUAAAAGAAGAUAUAACAAAAACCAAAAUAAAUAAAUCAUUUGGGUUGCCUCCCAAAAAGCGCCUUUGUUUUAUGUCUUUGGCUAGACACGUUUAUGCAUCAAUCUCCAUAAUUGGGACUCUCGAGAGCCACAUCCUCCACAAUAUUCACCGAAAAACCUUCAUAAAAAGGUUUUAAGCGAUGACCAUUAACCUUAAAAACUUUGUCAGAGGUCGGACUCCGAAUCUCAACUGCACCAUGAGGAAAAACAUUAGUAACAAUAAAAGGUCCAACCCAGCAAGAACGUAAUUUACCCGGAAAAAGUUUAAGCUUAGAAUGAAAAAGAAGAACUUUUUGACCAACAGAGAACUCCUUUCUCAAAAUCAUUCUAUCAUGAAAUGUCUUCGUCUUUUCCUUGUAAAAAAUUUCCUGCGCUAUAGGGUUAAUAACAUCCACAGAAAAUACCGAAUGUUCCUCACUAGGAUAUUUCAUGGUAUCAUUCAUAUUGAAUCCUAUAACCUCUCCAUCAAACUCCAUAGUGAGAGUCCCUUUAUGUACAUCCAUUUUAGUCAUAGCAGUCUUAAGAAAAGGUCUUCCUAGCAAAAUUGGGACAGAAUUAGAGGAGUUAUCAUCUUCCAUAUCAAGUACAUAAAAAUCAGCAGGAAAAACCAACUCAUUAACUUGUACUAAGACAUCUUCUAAUACCCCAUCAGGAUAUGCAUUAGACCUAUCAGCUAGUUGAAUUAUCACGCCAGUUUCUUUUAAUGGACCAACAUUCAAAGAUGAAUAAAUGGAACGAGGCAUGACAUUAAUAGAAGCUCCUAGAUCUAACAUAGCCUUUUCAACUCUAACACUACCAAUUUUACAAGGGAUAGUAAACAUACCUGGAUCCUUGCACUUAGGAGGUAGUUUCUUUUGGAAAAUUGCUGAAACAUUCUCCCCCAUGUGAACUUUUUCAUCUCCUCUUAAUUUUCUUUUGGAGGUGCACAGUUCCUUAAGGACUUUAGCAUAUCGAGGUAUUUGUUUUAUAGCAUCUAAUAAAGGAAUAUUUACCUCAACCUUGCGAAAUGUCUCAAGGAUGUCUUUCUCUUGUUCUUCCUUCUUGGAUUUUGCAAACCGGCUUGGAAAAGGAGGAGGUAUCACAAUAGGUAGGGGUUUCGCUCCGGUGGGUUGUGCAUCUUGAGAUUGAGGCAUCAAUUCAUUCUUCUCAAGCUCAUCUUCUACAUGCUCUGUCACUUUCUUACUAGGCUCUUGCAACUCCUUCCCACUUCUAAGGAUGAUAGCACUAACGUUUUGCUUUGGAUUCACCUCAGAUUAUGAAGGCAAUCUUCCUAAUACUCGAGACUCCAGAUGGCUUACUGUAGUCGCCAAUUGACUCAUUUGGUUCUCCAAGUUCUGAAUGCUUGCUGUAGUUGCCUGCUGAAAUUGUUGAGUGUUAGUCGCAAGUGAUUUAACAAUUUCUUCAAGAGAUAUACCUGACUUGGAGUUUGACUGUGGAGGUGCUGGUUGUCUUGGUGGAUACUGUUGUGGGAAUCCUGACGGUUUAACUCCAUAGCUGAAGUUGGGAUGAUCCUUCCAUCCCAGAUUGUAUGUUUGUGCAUAAGGAUCAUACCUCCUCUGAGGCAUGCCUGGAAAUCCUCCAACUGCAUUGGCUUGUUCAACGAGUUCUUCUUGGAGUGUAGGACACAUAUAAGUUGAAUGACCCAUAUUGUAACAAAUGCCACAAGUCUUCACCUGUUGCACAUUACCUACAACAAACUUUUCCACAAGAGAAGUAAGUUUAUCUAAACGUUGUUCAACAAAAGAAAUAUUUACCUCAUUCACCUUCCUUGAAGUGGGAUCUUGCCUGCUACUAAAUUGUUGUGCAUUGGCAGCCAUAUUUGAGAUCAACUCCCUUGCUUGAGUAGGGGUUUUGUUCACCAACACACCUCCACUAGCAGCAUCUAUCAUACUUCUAUCCAUUAAUGAUAGUCCUUCGUAAAAAUAUUAAAUAAGAAGUUGAUCAGAAAUCUGAUGCUAAGGACAGCUGGCACACAAUUGUUUGAAUCGCUCCCAAUACUCAUACAAAGUCUCCCCAGGAAGUUGUCUGAUCCCACAAAUAUCUUUUCUGAUGUUGGCAGCUCUUGAAGUAGGAAAGUACUUCUCAAGGAACUGCUUUUUCAAACCAUUCCACGUUGUAAUUGAUCCAGGAGGCAAGUAGUACAACCAAUCUUUAGCUAGCCCAUCUACAGAGAAUGGAAAAGCACGCAACUUAAUCUGCUCUUCAGUCACGCCUUGUGGCCUCAUACUUGAGCACACAACAUGAAACUCCUUGAGAUGUUUAUGAGGAUCUUCACCUGCAAAACCAUGAAACUUGGGUAAUAAAUGAAUAAGCCCAGACUUUAAUUCAAAAUUUACCUCCAAGUCUACAUAUUGAAUGCAGAGUGGUUGUUGAUUCAAGUCUGGUUCAGCUAACUCUCUAAGAGUUCUUUCUACAGGUGCAGGUCUAUCCAUCACUUGUUCUUCUGAAUCGCUAGAUGAUUCAACUAAAUCAGGCACUGUAUCUGUUUCAGAAAGCAAAGGCGACGAGGAUCGUUGCUUAGCUCGCUUUGUCUGCUGUCUCAGUUGGCGAGCUGUCUUCUCAAUUUUAGGAUCAAACGAAAGUGUACCUGUACGAGAAGAACGAACCAUACACCAAGUAAAACGUAAAAAAGAUUAAAUAAAUGACACCAAUCCCCGGCAAUGGCGCCAAAAUUUGAUGGGUGUCGAAGCCAACAAAAAUAAAUUCCUACUCUAAAUAAAUUGUGUAUAGUGAUUGAGCAGGGUCGUGUCCACAGAGAUCAGUAAUUAUUUAAAUCCUUUUGAAACGUAAAACGUAAAAUGGGGGAAUAGUUGACAAUAAUAAAAAUCAAAUUAAAAAUAACAAGAAUGCAAAUUAAAGUUGUAAUUUAAAUUGGAGAAAGCUCUGGUUGAAGGAAUUAACUCAGCUUGAUUCGACUACUGAUCAUUGAUUCAAAUAUAGAUUAUUAUUACUCAUGAAUAGACCGGUUAUAGCUACUGAGACCCUCUAAUAGCCAAUCUCUCCUUAACUAGUCGAUAACCAAGGUACGACCGUUAGUUAUUUCCCUAAUCAAUAGACAACCCUAGAUACGAUCAUAGAAUUUAAUCAAUUGACAGCCUGAAAAACCAGAGAGACCCAAAUCCUAAUCAACACAUAUGAUGAUUCAUUUAAAUUAGAUUGUUUAUUCUCACAACACAACUCUCUGCUAUGUUAUUAGUCACAAGCAUUAAAUUCUUCAUACGAUGAAUCCUUUAAUUGACAAUAGAUUAAGUUGAUAAUUAAAUAGUGGCCAAUUACCUAAUUAACAAACAUAAUCAUGAAAAUAAUUCAGAGAAUAAACAAAUACCCAAAAAGUAAUAAAACAAUUAAAGCACAAGAAAGAUCUCACAGUAGUGAUGAAUCAAAGCUUCAUUAACCUUCAACCAGAAAAAUGGGUUUAGUUCCUAAUAGAGAGAAGAGAAAAAUUAGAUCUAGGGUUUCUUUUUCUCCAAUCCAAAAUUCCCCCCUUUCACAAUAGAUUCCUCCCUUAAAUACUCUCUCUCUUCUCCUCUAGAAUUCUAUUUAAAAUAAAAUACUAAUAUCUGAAAUAUUAAAUUCGUAAUUACAAAAAUAACCAAAAAUACAAAACACGUUAAACUAAAAACUGCAGGUCCGCAGUUGACAGCACACACCCACGCCUUAUCAAUAAAGUUCUUCUGCCACUCAUAAUUUCUCCAAGAGAACAAUCAUCCUUAAAAAUCAUCUUGUAGCUCAAUUUUAUCACCAAUCAAUAGAAUUGCACUUACAAAAGUAAAUCAUUAUUAUUAAGUGCAAAACAUCGAUAUUAAGGGAAGUAAACAAUGCAAAACUAGUGCAUAAAUUGCACUCUAACAGACCCCAAAGAUCUGCAUAUAUCACUUGUAAGGGUGCUGAAGUUUUUGUUUCAACUGAAUCAAAAUGCAGCAUAUGAUUUUUCCCAUAUUGACAUGCUGAACAAAAUUUCAAGCUUUCAAUUUUAUUAUAAGCAGUAGAGUUGUUACAAGUUUUGAGUAUAGUUUUGAGAGUAUAAGAUGCUGGGUGUCCUAAUCUUCUAUGAAGAAGAUUUACAUCAAUAGAACUCUUUGUAACAACUGACAGACAUGGCUUUUUAUUCAAUUCAUAAGAACUAACAGCAGUGAGCUGAUCAGAAUUGAAAACAGGAGAACAAGCAAAGAGAGUGAAUUUUAUUUUGACCAACUGAAUUGAGAAAGACUGAAUGAGCAGCAACAUGUGAAGAGACUCUAUACAAGUCACCUUUAGCAACACCUUCAAGUAAAAUUUUCCUUGUGUUCCUAGCCUUUAUAAAAAACAAAUCACCAAGAAAUUCCAACAGUAACUGGAUUGUCAGCCAAUAAUUUUGAAAUGCUAAGCAAAUUCUUAGUAAUAAAAGGGACAUGAAGAACAUGGUUUUUAAAGGUUUAGAAGUUGAAGUAUUUAGCACAACUGAUCCUACAUGUGUAAUAGCUAAUGCAUUUCCAUCUCCAACAAACAAUUUUUCAGUACUAGUAUAAAUUUGUGAAUCCAGAAGUUUACCUAGAUCAUUUGUAAUGUGAUUUGUUGCUCCACUAUCAAUAUACCAUGAAGGAUCUUCAAUGUGUUCUGGUGGAAGUGAAGAAGGCAUAGCUGAGGAAGAUGAAGCACUUGACUGUCCAGGAUUAUUAUUUCCUUGACCAGAAACAAAAGUAGAUGGUCUAGGGGUGAAUGAGUAAUAAGCAGAAGGAUUACUAUCUGGAUACACCAUAUUUCCUUGAUAGCCAAAACCAGCAUUUAAACCAAAACCUCCAAAACCUCUGCCACCAUUACCAUUAAAAGCUCUUCCUCUACCAUAUUGCCCUUGAUUAAAACCUCUGCCACCAUUCAUAUUACCUCUGCCAUAGUUUCUCUGUGGAACAAAAGAUGAAUUGUACCUAUUUUUGCAUCUAUUGGCUGCAUGACCAGGUAUGAAGCAGAUUUGACAAACAGUUUCAGAGGAAUUACCACCAUUAUUAAACUGACCAUAUCCAUAUCCAUUAAAACCUCCAUACCUAGAAUUAUUUCCAUAAUUUUUUUGAAAAUUGCCAUUAUUCUUUCCAGCAUAUGAGUUCUUCUGAGCAAUAUUUGCUGUCAUAUUGUGCAUCACAUCACCAGCAAUUUUUCCUUUCUUUUGUUCAACUCUAUUUUCAUGAUUCAAUAGCAAAGGAUAUAGUUCAUCUAAUGUUAUCUUCUCACCUCGAGCUAAAACACCUGUGACUAAAGAUUCAUAAUCUGAUGAAUCAAGACCAGUUAAUACAUGAAUCACAAGAUCACUUAACUCAACAGGUUUUCCAGCUAGAGCUAAAGUAUCAGCUAUACGUUUUACUUUUGCAAAGUAAUCAGACAUAUGCAUUGCACCUUUCUUAAUAGUUUGAAUCUGCAUUCUAAGUGUUUGAAUUCUAGCUUGUGAUUAAGAAAUAAACAUACUAGUAAGAGUCUUCCAAAGCUGUUUUGAAGUUGUGGAGUCAAUCACAGUAGCAAGUAGAUUUUGCUGUAUCGACGACAUCAUCUAACUCAACAGAAGUUGAUCAGUCUUCAUCCAAGCUAUGAACUCUGGAUUAAUAGAUUUGGAUUCAGAUUCAGUAAAAAUUUCAGCUCCAUUGUUGUUUCCAAAAGAAAGAAACUACUCAGGACAUUCUUGAUCACCAUUGAUAAACCCUUCCAGACCGUUUCCUUUGAUCGAUGCUAAAAUUUGUGCCCGCCAUAAAAUGAAGUUGUUUUGGUCUAGCUUUGCAGGCGUAACAAAACUAAAAGAGUUGUUAUUUUGAACUGUAUUCGCCAUUUAUGGCUCUAAUACCAUGAAAGAAACUUAGUUUUGCAUUGUUUGGCAAGCUAGAAAAUGAAGAAAAUAAAAGAAAGCUCUGUAAAGAAGUUUGUAGAACCUUUAUUACUUUAGCAUUACAACUGAAUGAAUACAGACUGAUAUUUAUAUUAAGCUACAAUUUGCUCAACACACACACGAGUUUGUUACAUCACAUAACCAUUUGCUGCAUAACUAAUUUGACACAUCAGCUCAACCAGCUAAUUAACUUUGCCAGGUCAGCUUAGUGAGUUGAUCUGCUAAAUUCAGCUACACAGCAACAUCAUGCUCUGCUCUAGCUUCAUUCAAUUCACUAGCAUUUUCCCUUGAUACAUUAGGAGAAAAGACUGCCUGUGAGAUACAACAAUGUAAAUAACUUCUCAUGGUUCAUUGAAUCUAUAACGCACUGAGCCCUAUUCUAAAAUAUGUAGGUUGCUUCUGAAAAAGGGCUUUUCUCACUGAUCUUUAAUCUUCAAGAAAGUUUGUUUCAUUUCAGAAGGUAUAAGUUUCAAACUUAUUGUAUUGGGAGGUUGUAUAGUUGUAACCUAAGCAUCUGCAGGUUCCUGGUUCAACACAUUAUAGUAUGGUAUUUUAUUUUGUCACAAGGCAAUUGGUUACGGGAUCACUUUUGCAACGGUUUGUUGAUGGCGAUGAUGAAUUUCGCAAUAGUAGGUUGAAACUUAUUCCAUCUGUUCCUAAGGUAUCCAUCUUGGCCUUCAUGUAGUAGGACUAUAUUAACGUAUACUUACCCUUUACUGCAUGGUACACUUCAAUUUGUACAAAGAAGGCAUGCAUUUAGGUGUGAAUGUAUUGAUGGGUUGUACCUUCAAACUUUAUCUCCUUUUUACCCUCUUGAAUUUGUUUUGCACUUGUUCUUGAUUUUCAGCACUGAAUCAUGCAGGGGUCAUGGAUAGUGCGCCAGAGUGUUGGAAGCACCCCUUGUUUAUUGGGGAAGGCAGUUGAUUGUAACUAUAUUCGCGGUCCCAAGUACUUAGAAGUAAAUGCUCUUGGAAUUUCUAUAGUACAUGAGAUGUUCCCCUUUCAAAUAGCGUCCAAUACCUUUAACAUGGUUUAACAUUGUUCAUCUUUCUGUAGAUUGAUGUUGACAUCGAUUCUUCUACUGUUGCUAAUGGAGUUUUGGGCCUUGUAAUUGGUGUAAUUACGACAUUGGUGGUUGAGAUGGCUUUCCUUGUACAGGUAUGUAUGAUUGUUUUUUUCCCCCACUGCUAAAUGGACACAAGGGAAAAGACAUGAUUUUGAGAUAUUGCACUGCAACUUGCAUUUUUGCAUACUUGAAUGUUCUCAGAAUGAUAUAAUGCUUCUGUGUGUGUCUUCUUUAUCUUGCUCUUCUGUAUGCAGGCAAAUACUACAGAUGAAUUACCGGAGCGGCUGAUUGGUGCUGUACGUGUUUCUCAUAGAGAACUCAAGUCUGCUGUUGUCCCAAAGCUGGAACCAGAGAUAUCAUGACUCUGGUUUCAUUUCAGCUCAACUGUGUUUUUUUUUUAAUUAAAAAAAUCAUUUGUUUUAGGUAUACAUACAUGUAUUUUGAUUCUAUUUUCAUUGUAAUUUCUCAUUUACUUUGAAUGAAAGUCAUUGGUGUUUUCGAAUGGGAAUUUUGCAUUAAAAAAUGAAGAAUAAUGAAUAGGAAAUUUCCUGAUUCUUUAGUUACUAUUUUUGGUAUGAGUGUAAUUAGUAGUAAAGUAGGUUUCUACUCGCAAACAAGUGAACUACUCGAUUCCCGAGUGGUAUCAACCAGUUUCCAACUUUUUAAUAUACACUAAUUGUUAUUGUUUAAUAGCUACUACUAUUAAAACUCAACAGCUAGCAAAAAUACUUAAAAAAAAUGAUUUUUCUUAUGAUGCUGUGAAAAAAAUUACGGGUGUACUUCUUUCCAUGAGAUCUAUAACAUGGUCUCGACUUCACGAAAUUCUUUUAAUUUAAAGCGUGCUGGUGUGAGGUCAGUUUAACUGAUUAAUUCUUUUUAACAGUGGUCGAGAUAAUUUUACUAUACUAAAAAAUAUUCUUAUUCUGAUAAUGCCACAAAUGUUAUGCUGUUUUCUUCAGAUAAUGAUCUUCCAUUAGGAGAGGUUAGAAAUCAAAUGCUUAAAAGACCAAUUGAACGAAUAAUACAGAAAUUUAGGCAGAAUCUAAUAGAAUAUUGCAUGAAACAUGAAACAUCAAUUCAAGUCCUUUCUUAAACGGAGAAUGCAUCAAACAAAAUCCAAAGUGUCUUGCAAGUCUGUAGCGUGAGCAAAAAAUUGUAAAUAUGUAGAACCAAAUUAUUCAAGUACAGAAGAACGAGCAAGCUAAAUCAUGUAUAAGAGAUUGGCCUGGUUCGGGAUAGCUUCUUCACUGUAUCUGAAGGGUUGGCUCAAUCUCUUCUUUAGAAUUCUGCAGAUUUUGUAAUUACUCGUGUAAGCAAGUAUACAUUGCCACCAUAAGAAUAAUGAAGCUAGAGUAAUGAUAUGACCACCACCUCUUGUGCACAAACAAUAUUGUAUAAACUAAUGCGACAUAAUAUGAUUGGUUAAACAAAAACAUUACAUGGCCCUCAUAAUUUAUUUAUUUAUUUAUUAUUAUUAUUAUAUAUUUUCAGUCAACCAAUCAUAUUAUAUCACAUUAGUUUCUAUAAAAUAAUUUGCUAAAUAGCACCAAAACUUAAUUGAUACUCACCAUUUCAUUGAACAAUUUUUUUAUGGUGUCAUUGAGGUUGCCUUCCCAACAUCGUUCAUCAUCAUCUUUUUCUUCUUUGGUGACGUUCACUUUGUUUAGCAUUGGUGUGUCUAAGAGUCCUUGAGAGAAGAUCUUCAUUUUUGGACACUGUCUCACAACUACUUGUUUCAAGGACGGGAAUUCAAGAGCGUAAUUACCUAAACAAAAGCUUGUUAGGCUUGGCAAACAAUCAAGUCUCAAGUACUCCAAUUCCUUGAAAACAUUGCAAUCUUUCGCUUCUUCUCCAACCUGCAAUUGUAUGAUUUGUUCUAUCAUUUUGCAAUCAACUAUCAUCAUUCUUUUGAGAUUCACUAGAUUUUUAGAUGCUGAGAGCGUCAACACAUUUAUCAAUCCGUGACACUUCGAUACUGCCAAAGCCUCAAGAUUUUCCAAAUGCCACGAAGGUGGUACUAAUUUUUGCAACUUACUACAUUCCGAUAUUUUUAGACUUUUCAAGUUUGCAAACACUUUGUUGGAUUCGGCAUUUUCCUUCCAGAGAUGGUGCACUUUGUGUAAUCCAGACAGCUCUAACCAUCUCAAUCGAGGGAAUGAAACCUGAAAAUCAACAAAAUUAAGUUGUAAAUGAAAAUAUGUAUCCAAUCUCUGCAGUCUUCCCCUGCAUAUUUUAUGGACAAGAUUAAUCACGACAUUUUAUAUUUUUUUUCCAAAUUAGAAUGCUUUGCAGUAGGAUCCCAAAUAUAAGUAUCAAAUCGAUUACCCUUUGAAACACAUAAAUGAAAUCUGAUACUAAAUCCAAUAUGAAUUAGCUAGGAAAACAGAGAUGUUACACACAUAAUUAAUAGAGUUCAUCACCUCGUGUUACCAGGCAUCCAAUUAAUUUAAGACAUUUUAAUAAUUCAUAUUAUAAAGUUAGUUGAUAGCGGAGGUUAUAUUGUUAAAUCAUAUAUAAAUUAAGACGACGUGCAAAAAGAGGAGUCAUUAAAUUCGAUUUGAUUCUAACGAAAUUACAUCUAUGCGAAUGAAAGUGAAGGGAAAUAAUAAUAAUAAUAAUAAUAAUCACCUUUUCAUCGAAGAGAGGUUGUACUUGAUGAGCCAGCAAGAAGUUCUCUUCUGAUGUUAAUUUUUGAGGUUCCUUAUUAUCCGCUGUCAUGUGCAGUACAGAGUUGGAUAUGAAUGUUUCUAUAUCUCGGCAAUUCUCAAUAGUUAGAUUUCUCAACAUAGGCAUUUCAAUUAUAUUCCCAGUGAAGUUGCAGAAUCUUUUGAGUUUUGGAAGAUCAGUGAGCCUCAGCCUGUAAAGCUUAGGAAACAGGGGGCUUAUAUGUUCUUUGUCAGCAUUUAGCUCCUCCAAAUGAAGCACCUCUUCUAUUGAAUCACAAUUCCUCUCUUCCAGCCAUACCAAAUUGUUCAAGCACCGUAGCAGAUUGGCAGGAAUAGCACUCGACAUAUUCGUGCAGUCAUCCACAGCCAGUUGUCGUAAAUUGUUGAAGAAGCUGACAGGCAGUGCUUGGCCAUGCCAUAUUUCUUUCAAACGUGGAAAAUGUGAGAGUUGCAAAUCCCAUAUGUCACGGAAUCCAAUCUGCACAAACAAAAACAAUUGCACUGGAUAUAUAUAAAUUUUUUUUUUGAAUCAACUUACAUGUUUUGUGUUUUAACUUCUAAAACUAUAUAUACAAGGCAGGUGUAUAUGUUCAAAUGUCCAAGUGCAAGGGAGAUGCAUAAGUAAUUUCGACGAAUCGAUUUAACACAUACCAUUUCUUCGUAACACUUUUGUAUAGUGGAAUUAAGGUUGCCUUCCCAAUGGCGCAAUUCACCCUCUCCCUGUUAAGAAUAGAAUUAGUUAGUUAAUGAGUAUGCUGACAUGGCAGCUGAGUCAGCUAAAGGUUGUUAUAGAGGUUGUUAGUAGUAAACUGUGCGUGUGUGCAAUGUGUGUAGAAUCUUCUAUGCACAUAUAAAAAGGCUUGUAAUUUCCAGAUUCAUUAGAUCAAUAAUAACAGAAUUCUCAGCUUACAGAAGUUUUCUUUCUUCCUAUUUUCUUAGUAACCAAACAACAUCACAGUUUCAUAUAAAACUUAAUACUUCCUUUUUACUCACAUGCACUUCGUGCAGCUUUGGUGUGGAUACGAUUCCCUGAGAAAAAGUCUUCAUGUUCGGGUAACAUGUCAUAGAAACUCGUUCCAAUGAUGGGAAUUCAAGAGUGUAAUCCUCCAAACAAAAGCUGGUAAGCCUUGGUAAAUGAUUUCAGGUAAUUUUUAAAUAUUCUAAAUUCAUUUAGAAUAUUUAAAUGAAUUUAGAAUAUUCACUAUUUAGUAUUAGGAAUGGAGAAAGAAUUUCAGGUAAUUUUUAAAUAUUCUAAAUUCAUUUUUCAUCUUGAUUCUAGUUUUUUAAAAAAAUUUAAUUUUCAAACAUGCGUAUUUUUAAAAUAACUAAACUAAAACGCUGUAUUUCCCUUUUUUUCCCGAUAUUCAUGCUUUUAAAAAUGGAAAACAUUUCUGGAAAACACUUCCCAACGCCAUCAACAUGGGACUGUUAUAGAUGAAUUAAGGAAAAGAGAAAUAUAUAGAUGAAUUUGUGAACCUAUAAGAUGAGUGACUAUCCUUUAAUUUUUGAAAAUUGUACUUAUUAAGAUAUGAGCAGAAACAAUUAAAUUGAAUUAUAUUAUGCUGUUGAAUCGUGAUUAAAAAAAUUAUAUUGUUGAUUCUAAUGCUGGCGAACCUAAAAACUGGACUUAAAAUGUAGAUUUGAGAGUGGUGGUUCGAAGUACAAUACUUGAAAUAAAUAAUCAGUGGCUGAAUAUCAUUUGUAAACAAAAAAUGGUUAAAAUAUUGUUGGAUGUAAUUUGAAAAAAAAAAAAAGAUUCGAAAUGAAUACAGCAACCUUACCAAUGGAGGAAAAAUAUUCUUUAGGUUAUCACACUCAAAUAUCUCUAAAUUCUUCAAUUUGCUGAAAGACUCCGAAGCAAGUUGGUGGUGCCAUAUUAUUCUCAAAUUAUUCAUCCAGCUAAUAUGUAAUACCUCCAACCUAGGAAGUCGUACCUGGCAGUUAAAGAUUAAAUAACUAAUUAAUCAAUUAAUUGCAUAAUCAAUUGAUAACUAAAUUAGAGGCAGAUAUUAACUAAACUUGAAGACUCAAAGAAAAGACAAAUUAAAUAUUGUGACUAAAAUUAAUUUUUUUUAUUAAAAAAAAAACCUUUUCGUCAAAGAGAGGAGGAGGUUGCAUUUCAGAAUGAUUGGUGUCUUCUGGUGAGCUCGUAGAGAUGAAUCUUAACAUAUUCCAGCAACUCUGAAUCUCGAGGUUUAGCAAAGAAGGGAAUUCAACAACUAAAUCUGAAUUAAUAUGUCCCGUAUUGGCAAAGCUUGUUAGUUUAUAAAGCCAAUAGAGCUCCAGGGAGUGUAGUUUAGGAAAAACCUUUAAUUCAAUCAACUUUCCUUCUUCUCUUUCUGACCACCCCGUGGUGUCGACUACCCCUUCCAUUGACUCACAAGAUCUUAUCUCAAGAUGCUGGAGUUGCAAAAGACUAUUAACCAUAGAAUAGGAAAACAGAUACUUCAUACGAUGACAACUGCUCACGUACAGCUUUGUUAAAUUUCGACAACAGUACAUUCCUUGAUUAUGAUCGGCCCAUAAUUUUUUCAUGUUUCUUAAUGACCUGAGAUCCAAUUCCUCUAAGCUCGGAAGAAUAACCUGCAAAGAAUACCCGUACAUUUUUGUUCCUUCAAGUACAACCGUCUAGUAUAAUAUUCUUUUGAUGAUCGAAGAUUAAUCGUGAUAAUAAAUUAAUCAAUUAAUUAUUGAACAGAAAAUUAUCACCUUUGGAGCAGGAUCAUCAUCAGCAGUGAUUUCGUUGAAUCCCAAAGAAGUUGUUGGUUUCUCCCUGUCGGGUCCUAUAAACAAACAAAAACAAUAUACAUAAUUAAUCUUUGUUUUUUUUUUCAAAAUAAUUGAGGCGAAGUCAAUUAUCCCACCGGUACUUAAUUUCAACACUUACCAACAAUCAUUUCCUGAUCAUCGCAAAAAGCCACUUCUACCUUUUGAAGCCGCAGUAGGUUUUUGGCUAUGGAGAAUGAGAAAAGAUGCUUCAAUUUGUGACAGAAUUUUACUUCUAUAAUCCUUAAGUUGCUGAAAGAUUGAUCUUCUGUGAGUUGGCUGUCACAUAUUGUCUCCAAAUUGAUCAAACGACGAAGAGACAAUGACUCCAGCAAGGGGAAGACUUUGCGACGAACCCGUCCAACUGAACAGACAAUAUGCAAAAUCUCAGAACAACUUUCUGCAGAAAGAUGCUUCAAUCGUGGAUAACCUUCCCCAUCAUCUAAUUCAUGAACAACAUUCUGAACACCCUUCAGUUCUUCUAGAUAGAGAUAUUCAGUUCUCGUCAACAACAGUUUCAUCCUGUAAUUCUGCAAAAGAACGCCAAACUUUUCCAGCCCCUGGAGCUUCAUCAAUCUUGAUAAUCCAGAUUUAACGGACCAGCUGCUCCACCACUUAUUUCCUAUACAUAUCCUAUAGCUUUGUAAUUCCACAGAGACGAAAUCCUGCGGUAAAAUUUCGGCAUCCCGAACAUGUAUCUCCAAAGUAGUUAGCUUUGACAGCCCAUUCAAUUCAGCAAGACUGGCGUUACUUCCUCCUUCAACCUUCUCCCACUGUGAAAAGCUGUUACCAAUAUAUAGUUCUUCUAAUCGAGAUAAUUUUGAUAUGACAUUUGGAGCUAUCACCACAAGACUGCUACAAUUUCUCAAAUCUAGCAACUGUAAUCUCGUCAAUUGUCCAAUUACAACUGGCAACUCCUUAACAUCAGAAUCUCGGAAGCUGAGAAUCUCUAAUUUCCUUAGCUGUCCAAUUAUAGUUAUUUCGUUCAGUCGGCAACCGUCUAAACACAAUGUUCGAAGGUUAAUGAGGCGACCAAGUGAUGAAGGUAAUGAAGAGAAAAAUAUGCCAGUAAAAUCUAAAACUUUGAGUUCUUCUGUCCCUUCAAAAAAGAGGUCUGAAAUUUGCAAAGAGCUAUCACGCUUUGAAAACAACAAAAGUAACUCGAGACGGGGACAUCCCAACCUUUCGGGAAGCUCUUGAAUAUCUCUAUAAGGUAAAGAAAUAGCAAUUGGACCUUCCCGUAUUGUCUCUUCCAUCUUUUUCUCCACGUAGGCAACAUUUGGAAUAUUAAACAUGAGCUCCUUUUCUGCAAUUGAUACAGCAACAGCAUGAAUGAUGUCAUGCAUUUUAACUUCAUCUUCAGCAUCACCGUCCAACAAUAAGCAUGAAGAUUUGAGUUUGUCGAUCAAUGCAUCCACUCUAUUCCUUGCAUUUUCCAAUGUGCGAACAUAUUUAAACAAACCCAAACCCAUACCCAUACCAUAUCUCAACAAGGAAGCAACUUGUAUAGGAGUACCUUCACCAAAUAGAGAACAAAGAAGGAACAAAGAUUUUGCUUCAUCACUUUCCAAGAAGUCGUAACUCAAUUUUAUGGAAGAAUACACAUCUGCAUCCAUACCAUGAAUUUCUCUUAGAUUGGAACUUCUUAGCUGAUUCAACGCAUCCUUCCAAAUGGCAAGACUCUUAUUUUUCAGAGCACUUGCAACUGUUCUCAGUGCAACAGGCAAUCGUCCGCAUUUUCCAACAAUCUCAUCCGCUAAAGGUUGAAAAGCAGAUGCUUUUGCGGAAUUGCCCACGAUCUUUUCAAAAAAUUGCAAUGCUUCUUCCUUUGAUAAAACUUCAAUUGGGAAAAUCUUCUGAGAAUUCAUAUCAUUGAUCAAUAAAUCUUGACUUCUA
This 77885-nucleotide long non-coding RNA is filed under the name Citrus x clementina. RNAcentral's name for it is "Citrus clementina (C. clementina) long non-coding RNA (CCLE_LNC002795)". Lineage: Eukaryota; Viridiplantae; Streptophyta; Magnoliopsida; Sapindales; Rutaceae. The record is from RNAcentral.